GCAAAUCAUUAACACCUGCAUGAAUGACCAGAAGGAUAAGUUGUGGCCCAUGCUUCAAAAGCUUAAUGUUACCAUGAAGUCUGAUGAGAAGGAAUUGGUUGGCAAGGCUUUGAUGAAGCGUGUUAUGCAAACUUGGCUUCCAGCUAGUACUGCACUGCUUGAGAUGAUGAUAUUCCACCUUCCUUCCCCAUCAAAGGCACAAAAGUAUCGUGUGGAGAACUUGUACGAGGGACCCCUUGAUGAUAUCUAUGCUACUGCUAUCAGGAACUGUGAUCCGGAGGGUCCUCUUAUGCUGUAUGUUUCUAAGAUGAUUCCAGCAUCUGACAAGGGCAGGUUCUUCGCCUUUGGUCGUGUCUUCUCUGGGAAGGUUGCUACUGGUAUGAAGGUUAGGAUCAUGGGUCCCAACUAUGUCCCUGGCCAGAAGAAGGAUCUGUACGUCAAGAGUGUCCAGCGUACUGUUAUCUGGAUGGGAAAGAAACAAGAGUCUGUUGAGGAUGUUCCUUGUGGUAACACUGUUGCUAUGGUUGGUCUGGAUCAGUUCAUCACGAAGAAUGCUACACUCACCAAUGAGAAGGAGGUUGAUGCAUGCCCAAUCAGAGCAAUGAAGUUCUCUGUCUCCCCUGUUGUGCGCGUUGCUGUUCAGUGCAAGGUUGCCUCUGACCUACCCAAGCUCGUUGAAGGUUUGAAGCGUCUGGCAAAGUCUGAUCCUAUGGUCCUCUGUACAAUUGAAGAAUCUGGUGAGCAUAUUAUUGCUGGAGCUGGUGAGCUUCACCUUGAGAUUUGCCUGAAGGAUCUGCAGGAAGACUUCAUGGGUGGUGCUGAAAUUAUUGUUUCUCCUCCUGUUGUCUCUUUCCGUGAAACUGUUCUUGAGAAAUCCUGCCGAACAGUCAUGAGCAAGUCCCCCAACAAGCACAACCGUCUUUACAUGGAAGCCCGUCCCUUGGAAGAGGGUCUCCCUGAGGCUAUUGAUGAGGGCCGCAUUGGUCCACGUGAUGAUCCCAAGGUUCGCUCCAAGAUCCUCUCUGAGGAGUUUGGUUGGGACAAGGAUCUUGCCAAGAAGAUUUGGUGCUUUGGACCUGAGACCACUGGCCCGAACAUGGUUGUUGAUAUGUGUAAGGGAGUGCAGUACCUCAAUGAAAUCAAGGAUUCUGUUGUGGCUGGCUUCCAGUGGGCCUCAAAGGAGGGUGCACUGGCUGAGGAGAACAUGCGUGGCAUCUGCUUUGAGGUCUGUGAUGUUGUUCUUCAUGCUGAUGCAAUUCACAGGGGUGGUGGCCAGGUCAUUCCAACUGCCAGGAGGGUUAUUUAUGCUUCUCAGCUCACUGCCAAGCCAAGGCUGCUCGAGCCAGUUUACCUUGUGGAGAUCCAGGCCCCAGAAAAUGCACUUGGUGGUAUCUAUGGUGUUCUGAACCAGAAGAGAGGGCACGUGUUUGAGGAGAUGCAGAGGCCUGGUACCCCGCUCUACAACAUCAAGGCUUACCUCCCUGUCAUCGAGUCCUUUGGGUUCUCCAGCCAACUGAGGGCUGCAACCUCUGGCCAGGCGUUCCCUCAGUGUGUGUUUGACCACUGGGACAUGAUGGGCUCUGAUCCUCUGGAGGCCGGCUCCCAGGCUGCUCAGCUGGUGUUGGAUAUCCGCAAGAGGAAGGGUCUCAAGGAGCAGAUGACCCCUCUUUCUGAGUUUGAGGACAAGCUCUAAAUUUUGGUGGUUUGUGCUGCUGUUACCCAUGCUGGUUUCAUGGCCAAUUCGUCUACUGUAACUGGAACUACUUUCAUGUUUCAUUUCCUUUAGUUGUCAGAUGCAUCUGUUUUUGAACAUCAUUGGCCAUAUGGCAUUGUGCUGCUAAGACUGUAUUUUGUUAUCCGGUUGUGAUGUAACAGAUGAAAUAGAGUUCAUAUCUGUGGUUUAAGUGGUAGUAUUUGCGGUAUAAUGCUUGUUUCUACUGCCUUCUGAAAGCCUUUCUUUUGCCUAACGGUAGAGCGGAUUAACUAAGGGUGUUGUAUCAUUUGAUUCAUUUGAUCCUUCAUCAAGGAUGAAGCCAUCUCCUCAUGGGAACACAUUAUUCUACUAUUAGAAGCGAAGAUGUAACAAAUUAGUUGAAAGAGGAGCGUUGAAAGAGGAGCGAACCAUACUUUACUAUAUGGUAAGUAGCAAAUUAGUUACAAGUAGCAAAUUAGUUGAACUUUAGGAUCAUGCACGUUGAACCUUGUUAUCUAGGAUCAUCCAUGGAUCAUGCACGUUGAACCUUGCUAACUAGGAUCAUGCACGUUGACCCUUGUUAUCUAGGAUCAUCCAUGGAUCAUACACGUUGAACUUUGCUAUCUAGGAUUAUCCAUGUAUGCAUCAUGUAGUGCAUCUGUGCAUGCAAUAUUCUGUUAUCUAGGAUCAUCCAUGGAUCAUACACGUUGAACUUUGCUAUCUAGGAUUAUCCAUGUAUACAUCAUGUAGUGCAUCUGUGCAUGCAAUAUUCUGCCCUUAGCUUGGUUUUACUGCCGAUAGCUAUAUAGUGCAUUUAAAUGCUUUUCUUUUGCCCACAGCCCCAGAGGUAGAGAGGACUAACUGUUUCUGUUGCUUUUUUUUUUUACGGUCUACGGGAGAGAGUGUGUGUGUGUGUUGGGGGUGGGAGCGCCCCCACCUGAUUUUCAUUUCAUUGAGGGUCUGUUUCAGGCCAAACGCUGUGUAGAUCAAAAGGAGAUAGAGAGAGGCAGUGUACAUCUGGUUUUGUGAUUGUUUUACAUCGAAGCAAAGACAGUGCACCAGGAGUCGGUUAUCACGCGAUCCUCUAUGCGAAACCGCUCGCGCCAAAGUCGGGCUUCGUCUCGGCAUGCCGACCAGAAGCGUUGUUGAGAUGGAGCGCAGCGCUGGAACACUGGGUCAUUCCGGUGCUUCCAUAACACCCACGGCAGAAGGAGUUUUUUCUUGCUUUGCCUUUAGCUUGGCUUUAAUCCUGUUAGCUAUGCCUAUGUAGAGCAUUUGGUCCUUCGAAUUUUAAAUCGAUGUUGAUUUUGAUUGCAUGCCGUCAUUUUGGGUUGGUUCCAACUAUGUUUUUAAUAUCAGUCGUUCUGAAGGUUACUCUGUUGACACUUGAUUGCAUAACCGUUUGCUAGUUUUGCGUGCAUCCGCGUGCUGGUUCGUCUCAUCAAGAACUAGCCGUUGCUCAAAACUCUGGCUUUCAGGCAUGGCCGCAACAGCCUGGAGGAUGUGUUGCUGUUCUGUAGCUGUAGUGUGCGUCUGUGCUAGUGGAUGCAGGGAGCCAGCGACCUAAAAGGAAUCGUGUAUUAGUGGAUGCAGGACAUCGGCCGUGGCGGCCUGGGGGAGACGACCACGCUCGACAUGAACGGCAGUAAGUUCAAUGGCACGAUCCCGGCGUCGCUUACCGGCCUAUGGAGCCUCCAGUAUCUAGAUGUGAGCGGCAACCGCUUCACCGGCACCAUCCCAGCGUUGCUAUCUGGACUCCGGAACCUCCAGCUUCUCGGCCUGAAUGACAACCUCUUCACCGGCACCAUCCCGGCGGACCUCGGCGAGCUGGCGAGCCUUCACAUGCUGUAUCUGGCAAACAACCAGUUCGAUGCAGGCCAGCUGCCGUCGUCGUUCAAGAACCUGACCAACCUGGUCAGCCUCUGGGCGUCGCAGUGCAACCUCGUCGGAGAGUUCCCGAACUUUCUUUGGAGCCUGAAGGAGCUGCAACUAUUGAAUCUGUACACGAACAACCUCACCGGCAACUUGGUGGUUGAUGGCCUUGUUGCGAGGAACUUGACAGUAAUCGACGUCUCGGAGAACAAGAUCACUGGAGUUAUCCCGAGUGUUUGGGAGCUUGGAGAACCUCAGAGACUUGAACUUCUUCAUGAACAACUUCUCCAGCGAGAUACCAGCCAGCAUCGGCCGGUUGCCCUCACUGACGAGGUUGAGGCUCCACACCAACAUGCUUAACGGCACGCUCCCACCGGAGCUCGGAAAGCAAUCGCCGGGCUUGAAUUAUGUUGAGGUUGAUUACAAUGAGCUCACCGCCGAGAUCCCGGAAGGGCUGUGCACUGGAGACAACCUCCAGCACCUCACCGCCAAGAGCAACCAAUUGAACGGCUCCAUCCCAGCAGGCCUUGCCAACUGCGCCACUCUUGGAACCCUGUCGCUGGACAACAACCAACUCUCUGGCGACGUACCAGAGGCUCUGUGGACGGCGACGAAGCUUUACCAGAGGCUCUUCCGGCCACGGUGCAUCUCAACCUUUCGACGAUACUCAUAGGGAACAACCAAUUUGGUGGCAACAUUCCGGCUGCACUAGCUGCGCUCCAGGUGUUCACCGCCGAGAACAACCGGUUUUCUGGUGCGAUACCGGCGAGUCUUGGCGACGGCAUGCCGCUGCUGCAAAGACUGAACUUAUCCGGUAACCAACUGUCCGACGGGAUCCCCAGAAGCGUUGCUAAGCUAAGCCAGCUGACGGAAAUGGACCUGAGCAGGAAUCAGCUCACCGGAGGCAUACCGGUAGAGCUCGGCGCCAUGCCGGUGUUAAGUGUCCUUAACCUGUCGUCGAACAAGCUCUCCGGCAACGUGCCGCAGGCGCUUGCGAAGCCGACACUCACCGCCCUAACCUGUCCUCGAACCAUCAGACCGGCCAGGUCCCGGCCGGGUUCGCCACCGCGGUCUACGACACCAGCUUCCUCAACAACCCCGGCCUCUGCACCGCCGCUUGGGGACCUGGCUACCUCACGGGCGUACGCUCCUGCGCCGGUGGAUCACAAGACGGCGGUUCCUCCGGAGGCGUGUCGCACGCCCUGCGCAGGGGAACCUCGCCGUGGCGUUCGCCUUCUUCGUCGUCCGCGACAUCAAGAAACGGCGGCGCGUCGCGGAGCAAGACAACUGGAAGAUCACGCCUUUCGUCAAAGAUCUGGGAUUCGGUGAGGCACCCAUACUCCGGGGGCUGACGGAGGAGAACCUCGUCGGGCGCGGGGGAUCGGGGCGCGUGUACCGCGUCGCCUACACCAACCGGCUUAACGGCCGAGCCGGCGCGGUGGCCGUAAAGCAAAUACGGACCGCCGGGAAGCUCGACCAGAAGCUGGAACGCGAAUUCGCGUCAGAGGCUGGCAUCAUCGGCAACCUCCGGCACAACAACAUCGUCAAGCUCUUGUGUUGCCGCUCCAGCGCCGAGUCCAAGCUCCUCGUGUACGACUAUGGACAACGGCAUCCUGGACAGGUGGCUCCACGGCGACGCCCUCGUCGCCGGCGGGCGCCCCAUGGCGAGGGCGCGGUCCGCGCGGCGCGAGCCGCUGGACUGGCCGGCGAGGCUCAGGGUGGCCGUCGACGCCGCGCAGGGGCUGUGCUACAUGCACCACGAGUACGAGCCGCCCAUCGUCCACCGCGACGUCAAGACGAGCAACAUCCUGCUGGACUCGGAGUUCCGGGCCAAGAUCGCCGACUUCGGGCUGGCCACAGGAUGCUGCUGCAGGCCGGGGCGCCGGAAACGAUGUCCGCCGUCGCUGGCUCGUUCGGCUACAUGGCUCCUGGUAAGGAUUCGAACUUGCUGCUUUCAGUGAAUUUCUGUCCCAUUUCUACAAAUGCCACGUGUUCUCGUGUUGCCGGACCUUAGAUUGGGCCUUUUGAUGCUUAUCUGCAGAGUGUGCUUACACCAAGAAGGUGAACGAGAAGGUAGACAGCUUCGGUGUCAUUCUCCUGGAGCUCACCACCGGAAAGGAGGCCAACAACGGCGGCGAGCACGGCUGCCUGGCGGACUGGGCACGGCGCCACUACCAAUCAGGAGGGAGCAUCGCCGACGCCACAGACAAGAGCAUCAGAUACGACGGGUACUCUGACGAGAUCCAGGUUGUCUUCAGGCUCGGCGUGCUCUGCACCGCCGAUAUGCCGUCGUCGCGGCCAACCAUGAACGACGUGCUGCAGAUCUUGGUCAAGUGCAGCGAGCAGACGUACCACAAGGGCAAGACGGAGCGUGGCCCAGAGUAUGAGGUGGCUCUUCUACCCAAACGCGGCAGUCGCCGGAAACAGCUUUCAAACGGCUCGGGGAUUUACAUCGAAGAGAAGAUGACAGCAUUGUCUGAAGAAAGGAACUGACCACUGCAUAUGCCAGUAAGCAGCUUGUGACAUCGUCAGUGAACUGCUUGCUAUAGUGAUACUUCACAUUUUAGCAGAGUACAGCGGAGAAUUAUGCCUCUAAUCUUUUUUUUUCUGAGGAGCUAAGUAUCUUUAUAUUAAAAAGAGAAUAUAAAUAGAAAAAAUCAGUCCAUUGGAAGCAACCACUCUAGCUCACCUAGGAGAAUAGAGAGAUUGCAUAAACAAGCGAAGAAAAAACCGUCACCAGACCUUGACCCUGCACGGCUGGACUAGGGACAUGCAUAGUAUAGAGCAGGGCUUGUGGUUAGCCAAACCGUUCUGUGUAUUGAUACUGCAAAUCUGUAUUAAAUCACACACACAUUAUACGUUCCGACAGAAGAACUAGCAAACAUUACGAUUAUACUCCCUCCGUUCUUAAAUAUAUAACGCUAUUGACUUUUUCAUUUGUUUGACUAUUCAUCUUUUCUACAAAUAUUUUUGCAAAUAGAUAAAUCUACGAGUUAAAUCUAAAGUACAUUUCACAAUAGUCAUAAUGAUACACAUUUUACUUUAGUUAACUAACUCAUUCAAUAGAUAUUGAUGGUCAAAGUUGGAGUAAAAAGCCAACAGCAUCAUAUAUUUAAGAAUGGAGGGAGUAAUUUAUUUCUGAAAUAAAGGCAGGAGAUGGAGCUCUGCUUAUCCAUUCAGAAAUUAGUACGAUUGAAUGAUUUUGUCUCCUUCCAGUUUUUAUUGUAAAACACAGAAUAUUACACGGAUAGGCACUGAUUGUUAUCCGGAAGAAAAUGAAUUUUUAUAUUUCAAAAGAAAAGGCCCAAUUUGCACCCUCUAGCUAGCACGAUAAUCCAAUUUUCAGCUAAACUGACCAUGGGCCGGCCCAAAGGCACAGGAAUUUGGCCCGGUCUAGGCAUGGCGGCCGUCGUGCUCGUGCUAACCCGACCCACACCAUGGGCCGUGCUUGGGCCGUUGCCUCAGCCCACGUACUGGUCCGGCACGGCCUGCCCAUUUGGCCCGUCGGGAUUAAGUGGGCGGCCCAUCCUAUUAAGGCCCACUCGACCGCAUAUAAAACCCCCCACCCCCAAACGGCCAAACCCUACCUUCCUCUUCGUGUCCCGCGCCCUUCGCCGCCGUCACCUCCCCCGCGCCCUUCGCCGCCUCUCGCGCCCGCCGGCCGCUCACGCCCUCCGCCGCUUCCCCCCGCCGCCUCCCUCACGCCCUCCGCCGCAUCCUCCCACCGCCUCCCUCGUGCCCUCCGCCACCUCCCGCGCCCGCCGGCCUCUCGCUCCCCUGCCACCUCCCCCGCGGCCCUCUGCCGCCUCCUACACCCGCCGGUCCCUUGCCGCAAUUGGGGAAGAUGGUGGCCUGCACGGCGGCGCGCGCAAACGUCCUGUCGUCCCUCGGCGGUGGGAGCUGCGGCACGAGUGGGCGCCUGGGCAGAUCCGGGAAAGGUCUAUGGGCGCCCUGACGACGAGGUGGUCGAAGUCAUCGGGGCUAUCGAACUCGACGACGACAGGCGCUACGGGCGUAUGAGCAGAGGAAGGGUGAAUUCUGUGCCGCAGGCUGGCACGAGCACGGUGAGGCCGUUAAGGCCUGCCAGGCCAGCGUGCCAGCACGGCCCACCUAAGAAGGCUGCGGGUCAUGCCUGGACCGCUCCUUCGGCACAUGGGCCGGCACGGCCUGGCACUAUUACCGUGCAAGCCUAACCGUGCCGGGCCUAACCGUGCCAGGCCAAAUCGUGCUCGUGCCAGGCCGGGUUGGGCUACCUGUUUGGCCAUCUAUACAUCCAACGGUUGAAACCAGAUAAAUUUUAUCCUUUAGCUGGUUUCAAAGAUGUUUUUUUGUUUUAUUAGACAUUUAAAAAAAAUCUGAUUUAAUCUUGUUGGGGGGAAAUAUUAACGAUCCCCUAAAUACCACUUAAAGGAGCAGACGCGAAGGCCCGGGCCCACCUAAGCAUAAUCAAAACUCCGCCUCGCCCGACCGCGGCCUCAGGGUCAGGAACGCCCGACCCCCCUCCACGAGGUUUCCGCCUCGUCCGACUGCGGCCCCAGGGUCGAAGGCGCCCGAUCCCUCGCCACAAGGUUCCGCCUCGUCCGACCCCAAGCGCAGGGGUCGGGCUCGCUGGGGCCCCCAGGGCAGGCAUCCCCCUCGGAUGUGGACCAGGUGGGCAAGAUAAACAAAUCUUGCGGGUCCCCCCCCCCAUCGGCCUCGUCAUAAAUGCGCUGCGGGCCUGGCAGAGGGAGGAAUGACCACGCUCCUCACACAACCCGCCGCAAGUACCCAUGCACGACCAUACUGUACAAGCUACAGCGCUGGCGGCUCACUCCCAUUCGCCGCAGGGUACUCAUGGCCUGCGCCGACCGGAGCGGAGGAGAGACUCGCCUGUCCUCGAGCCCCGCGCACCCUCGGGUCCCGUGCGCCUGGCAUCUAGGAUGUGACGCCCUCUCUCCAGGAGCCAUCAUCAGAAUGGCAGCAUCCACCGUCCUCCCCAACGGACACCGGGAUAACGACGAAACGCCCUCAUCAUAACCCGACGCCUACGGAUGCCGAAGGAGCUAUCUGUAGGGUGCAACGACAGUUGGCGCACGGCCGCCUCCCCCUCCGGCAUGCACGCCGGCGCUCGCCAGGAGCCGGCGGAGGCGUCGGGCGUCUAGGAACUUGUUCCUCCCAUCCUGCCGUAUUUUUUACCGUACUACGUUCACAUUUUACGGUCCUCUUCGCCCGAUCCCAACUGUAACUCUGGCCACUCCCCUUGCGAUAUAAAAGGAGGAACACAGGGCCGGAGGGGGGGAUCGGCUUCUUCCCCCUCAAGCCACAGCAUGCUAGUACGCUCCCUGAGAACAUAGGCUCAAAGAGACUUGGGACCAGUCCCUCUCUCGUCGGUCUGUAACCCCUACUACAGAACCCCGCGUGGGCAAUACGAGCAUCCACGAUACUGGACGUAGGGCUCCCUUUGCUCGAACCAGUCUAAUCCGUGUCUCCCACGCCACCAUCUGAGGCCUUACGCGCAUAAAAGAAAUUUACUAGUCUAAGUCUUGAUCCGCCAAUCUUGACAACGACAGUUGGCGCGCUAGGUAGGGGACCUUUGCGCAUACCCUCCCAGCCUCAGAUGGCCAAUUACGAUAGUAGCUUUGCUCCGGGCUCCCUGAUCCGAUUCGGGAGCCUGGACUUCCUCGCCACCGGGGAAGGGAUCAAGCUGAUCCCUGUCCUCAUCCUGCCCGCUCGCCCGCCUGCCCCCGGCCCCGCCGCCGGGACAGCGGUGAGCGGCCGCUCGCAUACCGGAAGGACCUCGCCAGGGGGACGGCCCUUCGGGCUACGCAAUGCCACGGGGGCCUACGGACGCCUCCUAGCGCGGUCCAUGACCGCGUCGCCCGCGAGCAACGAGCUCGUAGGUGCGACAAGGACGAUCUCCGACACCGGCUCCAGCAGCGGGAGCCCCCACCCCUCGCGUGAGUGCCUCGUGGUCGACGAGCACUCUGAGGGAUCCAACAGCAACGAUGCCGAGGAGAGACAAAGGGCUGCCCCUCGCGCGCCGCGGCUAUGACCGGAGCCUUACCAAGGGCACCAGAGUGCUCUCAGCAACGAGAGGCGCGCGCGGGCGCCCGCCAAGAAGUCGAGCACCCCCACCACGAGGGAGGAGCGCGACAACGGGCGCGAGACGUCCAGCGACGCAUCUGCGCGGAUGAAGAGCGUCCGCAGCUUUUCGCCCGCGCCAGCCAAAACGUCGCAGCCGCGGCGGUGUUGCUCCGACAGCUCCCCGAACCAGCGAUGCCCGAGGAGCGACGGGCACGCCAAGAGAUGCGCGACCUGCUCGAAUGCGCCGCCGUCCAGCAGGCGGAAAGCUCCGCGUCCCGGCGACGCGGGCAGAAUGCCAGCAGGGCGACGCCCGACGCGCCCCCGGAAAGGCGGGGGGAAUCAGUCCAUCUACCCCCUCCUGGGGCGAAUCAGGCCGCGUCCGCCCGACGGACUCCACCACCCGCGGGAGGCGAGGCUCGAUCCGUCCACCAGCGCGUCGGCCUCGUCCGCGACGCCCGCGACACCCUAAACGCGCGGAGACGCUCCCGCGCGGACAGGGAGGACGGGGUAGAUCGAGGCUACCACGUCCACCGUGGCGGGCGCUACGACAGCGGGGAAGACCGCAGCCUGAGCCCCGGUCCGGCUGGGCCCCGGGCCUUCUGUGCGCGCAUCCUGAACGCGCCUUUUCCGCCGCGCUUCAGGCAACCCAUGAGUAUAGCCAAAUACUCAGGGGAGACGAAUCCUGGAGUGUGGCUCAGCGAUUACCGGCUUGCAUGUCAAGCCGGCGGGGCGGAUGAUGACCUGUUUAUCAUCCGCAACCUACCCCUCUUCCUAGCCGACUCAACGCGAGCUUGGCUAGAACAUAUCCCUUCGGGACGAGUUCGCAACUGGAAUGACCUGAAGGAGGUUUUCAUAGGGAACUUCCAGGGCACGUACACACGCCCCGACAAUUCCUGGGACCUCCGGAGCUGUCGUCAGGGGGCGGACGAGUCCCUCCGAGAUUAUAGCCGGCGCUUCUCCAGGAAGCGCACCGAGCUCUCCAACGUCGCGGACGCCGAUGUCAUAGGAGCUUUCCUAGCAGGAACCUCCUGCCGGCCCCUCGUCCACGAGCUGGGGUGCCGAGGCCCGCGAACCACGGAGGAGCUCCUCAAUAUCGCCACUAGUUACGCCUCGGGCGAAGAGGCCGUUGGAGCAAUCUUCGACCGCUCCAAAGGCAAGGCGAAACGGGAGGAGGUUGCUGGCGAAGGCACCUCCAACCGCCAGCAGAAGAAGAAGGGCAAGUUACGGCGCGAGGCCCCCCUCGUGGCCGCAGCUGAGCGCAAGCGAGGGCCGCCGCCCCCCGAGGGCGCUCCCGGCUUCUUCGACAAGUUGCUUGAGGGACCGUGCCCGAACCACGAGUUCCCCGUGAAGCACGCCUACAAAGACUGCAACCUCAUGAAGAGAUACUUCAUGGGCAAUUCGGUGAAAGGCGACCGGAAGCGGAAGCCCGAUGAGGAAAAGAAGGGCGACGAAGAGAAGGAAGACGGCUUCCCCAAGGUGGACGGCUGCUUCAUGAUCUUCGGGGGCUCUGCGGCAUACGACACCAAGCGCCAGUAGAAGCUGGAGCGCCGGGAGGUCUACGCGGCCGAGCCAGCGACUCCGGCCUUCCUGGACUGGUCAGGGCCGGCCAUCACCUUCGACAGGACCGACCACCCUGGACGCGUCCGGCACCCGGGGCGUUACCCUCUCGUCGUCGACCCCAUCGUCGGCACGACGCGCCUCACCAAGGUGCUCAUGGACGGAGGCAGCAGCCUCAACAUCCUCUACGCCGAGACCCUCGACGCUAUGGGGAUCGACCGUUCCCGCCUCCAUCCCAGCAAGGCGCAUUUCCAUGGCGUCGUGCCAGGGAAGCAGGCGAUGCCUCUCGGGCAAAUCGACCUGCGCGUUACGUUCGGGACCCCUUCCAACUACAGGAAGGAGGUCCUCACAUUCGAGGUGGUGGGGUUCCGCGGAACCUACCACGCCAUCUUGGGACGGCCUUGCUACGCAAAGUUCAUGGCUAUCCCCAACUACACCUACCUCAAGCUCAAGCUGCCGGGGCCCAACGGGGUCAUCACCGUCGGCACGACCUUUCAGAAGGCGUACGAGUGCGACGUAGAGUGCUGCGAGUACGCCGCGGCCAUCACCGUCACGAGCGAUUCGGCAGUCCAGCUUGCGGAGGCCACCGAGGACCGGCCCGACUCCAGGCAGCCGAACAUCUCCUUCGAGCCCGCUGAAGGUAUCAAGGAGGUCCCCCUUGAUCCCGGUUGUUCCAACGGAGGAGUCGUGCGGAUCAGCGCGGCCCUAUCCCCCAAAUAGGAAAGCGCGCUCGUUGACUUCCUCCGCGCGAACAGCGACGUCUUCGCGUGGAAGCCAUCGGACAUGCCAGGCAUUCCGAGGGAAGUCGCCGAGCACUCCUUGAACAUCAGGGCCGGUUCCAAGCCAGUAAAGCAAGGAUUGCGCCGUUUCGACGAGGAAAGGCGCAAGGCCAUCGGCGAAGAGCUCCAGAAGCUUCUGGCGGCCGGGUUCAUCAAGGAAGUGCACCACCCCGAGUGGCUAGCUAAUCCUGUCCUUGUACCAAAAAAGAAUGGGAAAUGGAGGAUGUGUGUCGAUUAUAACGGUCUCAACAAAGCGUGUCCAAAGGACCCGUUUCCUUUGCCACGCAUAGAUCAAAUAGUCGACUCAACUGCCGGGUGCGAGACCCUCAGCUUCCUCGACGCAUAUUCCGGCUACCAUCAGAUCGCGAUGAAAGAGGCCGACCAGCUCGCUACCUCCUUCAUCACCCCCUUCGGUCCCUACUGCUACGUUAAGAUGCCAUUCGGCCUCAAAAACGUGGGGGCUACCUUCCAGCGAUGCAUGCUGUAGUGCUUCGGAGACCUCAUUGGGCGGACCGUUGAGGCCUACGUUGACGACAUCGUCGUAAAAUCCCGGAGGGGCGACCAGCUCGUUCCCGUCCUUGAACUAGCCUUCGAGAGGCUGAGGGAUAAGCGUAUUAAGCUCAAUCCCAAGAAAUGUGUGUUCGGAGUCCCAAGGGGCAUGCUGUUAGGCUUCAUCGUCUCCGUGCGCGUCAUCGAAGCAAACCCGGAGAAGAUAGCGGCCAUUAGAGACAUGGGGCCGAUCCGGAACAUAAAGGGAGUUCAGCGCAUCAUGGGAUGCUUGGCAGCUCUAAGCCGCUUCAUCUCGCGCCUCGGCGAGCGAGGGCUUCCUUUCUAUCGGCUCCUGAAGAAGACUGACCGUUUCGAAUGGACCAGCGAGGCCCAGGAGGCACUUGACCGACUCAAGGACCUCCUGACGAAGGCCCCGAUCCUAGUCCCGCCUACCGACGGCGAGUCCCUCCUGCUCUACGUCGCGGCGACCACCCAGGUGGUUAGCGCGGCCUUGGUGGUGGAACGAGAAGAGGAAGGACACGCUCUCAAGGUGCAACGCCCGGUGUAUUUCAUCAGCGAAGUCUUGUCCGAGUCCAAGACACGUUACCCGCAGAUCCAGAAGCUCGUCUACGCCAUCCUUAUCACAAAGAGGAAGCUGCGCCACUACUUCACCUCCCACCCGGUAACAGUCAUUUCGUCAUUCCCGUUAGGCGAAGUAAUCCGGAACCCAAAUGCUACAGGGAGAAUCGCGAAGUGGGCGCUUGAGCUCAUGGACCAGGGUAUCACCUACGUCCCCCGCACCGCCAUCAAGUCCUAGGCACUCGCCGACUUCGUGGCAGAGUGGACGGAGAUUCAAACGCCAUCGGCGCCAGAGAAGCAGGAGUAUUGGACAAUGUACUUCGACGGGUCACUGAUGAGGGCCCGCGCCGGAGCGGGUCUCGUUUUCGUCUCUCCCUUGGGCAUGCGCAUCAGGUACAUGAUCCACCUUCAUUUUCCUGCAUCUAAUAAUGUCGCCGAGUACGAAGCCCUCCUCAACGGACUCCGCAUCGCCAUCGAGCUGGGCAUCCGUCGGCUGGACAUCCGGGGCGAUUCCCAGUUGGUCGUCGAACAAGUCAUGAAGGAGUGGAGCUGCCACGACCCCAAAAUGGCAGCCUACUGCAACGAGGUCCGUAAGCUCGAAGACAAAUUCGACGAGCUAGAGCUCAACCACGUCGCAAGGCGCUUCAACGAAGCCGCCGACGAGCUGGCGAAGGCGGCAUCCGAAUGAAUGCUCGUCCCCGACGGCGUCUUCGUUAGCGACCAGUUGAAGCCCUCAAUCCGUUACCCAGAACUGCAGGGGUCGGCGAAGCACCCCCGGCCCUGGGAUCGGGACCCGAGUCAGGGGAGGUCGGCAGCGCGCCACCUGUCCGAGACCCGAGCACCAGCCCCGAGGGGGUCGACAACGCUUUGCCCAACUCGGCCCCGGGAGCCGAUCCGUCCGACCCCGGGGUCAUGGAAAUCACGGCAGAUUCCGCGGCGGGUGCCGACCCCCCGAUCGAUUGGAGAGCCCCAUACAUCGACUACCUCGUCCGCGACACGCUCCCGGCAGACAAAACGGAGGCCCGUAGGAUCGCGCGCCGCGCCAAAUCCUUCGCCAUCAUCGACCAGGAGCUCUACAAGAAAAGCCACACUGGAAUCCUCCAGCGCUGCAUCUCGAUCGAACAGGGAAAGGCGCUGAUCAAGGAUAUCCACGCCGGAGCCUGUGGUCACCACGCCGCGCCAAGGACCCUCGUUGGUAACGCCUUCCGACAAGGUUUUUACUGGCCGACCGCGGUCGCGGACGCUACCCAGGUAGUCCGCACCUGUGAAGGAUGCCAGUUCUUUGCCCGCCAGACUCACCUGCCCGCGCAGGCGUUGCAGACCAUCCCCAUCACGUGGCCAUUUGCGGUUUGGGGGCUAGAUCUCGUCGGACCCUUCAAGAAGGCACCCGGGGGCUUCACCCAUCUGCUCGUCGCCAUCGACAAGUUCUCCAAAUGGAUCGAGGCAAGACCGGUGGCGCAAAUCAGGUCCGAGCAGGUGGUCCAGUUCUUCACCGACAUCAUCCACCGCUUCGGGAUCCCGAAUUCCAUCAUCACCGACAACGGCACACAGUUCACUGGGAAGAGAUUCCUCCAGUUCUGCGACGACCACCACAUCCGAGUGGAUUGGGCGGCCGUGGCACACCCCCGCACGAACGGGAAAGUCGAGCGAGCCAAUGGCAUGAUACUCCAGGGUCUCAAGCCAUGGAUCUUCGACCGCCUUAAAAAAUUCGACGGACGGUGGGUUGCGGAGCUUCCCGCAGUCCUUUGGAGCCUGAGGACGACCCCCAGCCGGGCGACGGGCUUCACCCCGUUCUUCAUGAUCUACGGGUCAGAGGCCAUUUUGCCCACCGAUCUAGAGUACAGAUCGCCAAGGGUCAAGGCAUACGACGAACAGGGAAACCAGGCAUCAUUCGAGGACGCGCAAGAUCAACUCGAUGAAGCGCGAGACGUAGCUCUACUGCACUCGGCUAAGUACCAGCAGGCCCUACGGCGUUACCACAGCCGCAAGGUGCAAGGCUGAGCCUUCAACGUCGACGACUUGGUGCUCCGCCUCGUCCAAGACAACAGGGGUCGGCACAAGUUGACUCCCCCAUGGGAAGGCCCGUUCAUCGUCGUACAAGUUCUACGGCUGGGCACCUACAAGCUGGCAACUCCCGACGGGCAGGUUUUCAGCAACGCCUGGAACAUAGAACAGCUAAGGUGCUUUUACCCAUAGCUUUUAUUUCCAAGCCCUGCAUAAAACUUGUCUUCAAUUCCGAUAUUUCCUUUAAGCUCAGGGGUAUCCGACCCUGGCCUCGUUCCAGGGCCGCAUACCCCUCGGGGGCUACCAGUUUUGCUCCUCUGCGAAAAAAAAGAAACCCCGAGCCGUCUCGGUUCAGGCCUUUUCCUUUAAGCUCAGGGGUAUCCGACCCUAGCCUCGCUCCAGGAUCGCAUACCCCUCGGGGGCUAUCAGAGGUUCCGACCCCAGCCGCUCGGCCCUAUCUAAAAGAAACAUUUUUUCUUUUCAAACCGAACACUCCCUUUCUAGACCUUUGGGCGCAAAAAAGAGAAGGAUGCGCGAACGGUGCUCAGGCAAGUUUGAUCGGACUGCGAAAAAACCUACGCCCCAGCGGCUACGGCACCUUCGCUCAUCAAAACUUAAUGACGCACCCGACAACGCAUUCUAAACUUUCAAGCCCAAAGGAACAGCAAAGGGGAUCGGGAUCUUUCGCACAACGAAGUCAUAAACAAGCCUGUAUGGCCAUCACAAAAUAAGUUCGAAACUAACAUAAUUACAUUUUGGGCACAAGCCCGGUACAGUUAACUUGACGAGGGGUCGGCAGGAGGGAUGACCUCAUCUUCCAGGAGCUUCGCGAGGGCCUCCGCCGGCGCGGACACCGCUGCAUCAAUCCCGUCCAGCUCAGCUUCGGUGUAAUCAGCGGCGUACCCUUCACUCAUCCCGGCAAAGUUGAUGCCAGAAUAAUGGGAGCCGAAGACCCCGAAGGCUCGCCGCAUGCCGACGUGAAGCGCGUCCAUGGCGAUCUCGCGACGUCGACGGCGUACCCCAAGGACACGAGCCGGCAGAGAGCUCGACCCCUCCUCCGGAACUACGCCAAAGUCGUCACAGACGACGCGGACCGCAUCCCGCAAGGCGCCGUGCUCGCCGUGCUCCGCGUCGAGCAAACCCUUCAGCUUGGCGAUUUCGCCUGCAGGAACCACCCAGAAAAGCCCACCAAGUCAAGAACAGAACACAAAAUGUCACGGGAACGCGGGAACGGAAAAAAAAAGCCUCACCGUCGGCCCAGGCCUUCAACUCGCGCUCCCGGUCGGCUCCUUGAGACACGGCGGACUGGAGUCCCUGCACUUGCGAGCGAAGGCGACCAGUCUCCGCGCUAAGGGCUUCACGCUCCCCCCUCAGCUGUGCAAGCUCCCCGGCAUCACGACGGGCCCUCUCAGCGGCAGCUUGAAGCUCCUCGGCGUCGCGGCGGACCCUCUCAGCGACAGCUUGGAACUCCUCGUGGUCGAGGCGGGCUUUCUCGAUGACGGCUUGGAGCUUGGCCUCCGAUCACCGCGCCUCCUCCAACGCCGCCCCCUCACGCCUUUGCAGGUCCCGAAUGACCCCCUGGGCGGCAGUGACUUGCAGGGACAGGUCCCUGGUGCGCUCCCUCUCCGCGUUGAAGCGCUCCCAGAGACCCUGCUGCAGCCGAAGGAAAUCAGAUUUCCCCCGACUGCCCUCUUGGAGGGCCUGCAAAGCAACGUGCCAUUAGAAAAAAAAAAGCAAAAGGGAGGUGCUGAUCACCAACAGUAGGAGCAACAUACCUGGCUGCCAGGGAGGACGGUGUUACCCAGAACCCCCAACGCCGAAGACAGAGCCGCCUCAACGUGGGCAAGGCCGCCCUGCAUCGCCUGCCACUUGUGCCACUCAGUGGCGUCGUCCAGCGUGAAGAGAUGCCUCGGCGGGUCAUCGCGGGAUGACCAGCGAAGGACAGACCCCCUCCACGCCCUGGGAACGGAGGGAGCCGAGGCCGAGGCAGGGGCCGAUCCUGACGCUGCCGUCAAGGUCGGCACCAUUGCACUAGAAGCCGCCGAGUUUACUGACGGCCCCGGCACCUGCACGCUCGUCGCCGCCGAGGCCGCCGGCGGUAUCCCAGUGGGCCCCUCCGCCUCCGCCGCCGGAGCCACUCCCGCGGGGGUAAUUGGGGCGGAGGCCCCCGCCUCCGUCACCGUUGCCUCCGCCGCCGCGCUUUCGGGGGCAGGCGUUCCCUCCGCCACCGAUCCCGCCGCGGCUGCGGGGGCAUCCGCCCUACCUCCCGUCGCCGCCGUCUCCUCUGCCUCGUCGGCGUCGAAGUCGAUCACCUUCCCGGCCUGAGAACCCGGGGGGAUCGUGCCCUGCGCUGUAGGGGCGACUGGGGGGACCGAAGGCGGAGUAGGGUCCGCUCCCCCUCCCACGGCUGACACCGCCGUCGCUCCGCCGGCCGCCACCACAGGGGCCGCCUCCGCGGAGGGGUCCGCGGCCUCACCAGGGACCCCGCCGCUCGCCGCGGGCGGGACCGCGGUCCGCCCCCCAGAGGAGGUUGACAACCGCAACGCCUUCUUAGGCACCAGCUGCAGGGCAAGGCCACGAGGGGCGGCGCUGCAUAUCGACAAACAGACGUCAGCACAAACGAGCGUGAGAAGAGGAGAGGAACGAGGCGCAAGGAAGGCCAACUUACGUCCUUGAAGCACAAGGGCGGCGCGCGCGCUUCGACUCAGAGCCCGACGCCGACCCCGGGGCAUCUGGCAGCGGCCGCUUGUCGCCACUUCGCUGCUCUCCAGUCGCGGGCACGGCGGUGGAGGCAGUCUCUGCAGAUCUCCGAGGAGCACCCUGAGCGGACUCCUGGGGAGCGCCCCGCGCCGGCUCUGAAGUGGCGGCGGGGGCAGGCUCCGAGGACCCCCGAGGGGCGCUCCGCGCCAGCUUUGGGAAGGAGCCCCGUGUCGACCCCUGGGGGGCACCCUUCACCGACCCCUGGGGAGCGUCCCGCGCCCGCUCCUGGGAGGCACCCCGCGCCGGCCCCUGGGGGGCGUUCCGCGUCGACUCCUGGGGGGCGUCUCGUGCCGGCUCCGAAGCGGCGGCGGGGGCAGGCUCCGAAGACCCCCGAGGGGCGCUCCGUAUCGACCCCUGGGGGGCACCCCUUGCCGACCCCUGGGGAGCGUCCCGCGCUCGCUCUUGGGACACGCCCCGCGUCGGCCCCUGGGGGGCGUCCCGCGUCGUCUCCUGGGGACACGCUGUACUGGCCCCUGGGGCGCAGCCCCAGGGCCUGGUGGAGCCGAAGCCCGGGCGGGCGCCUCCUCCACUUCACCUCCCGCGGCCGUCCGCGGGGGUGCCUCACGAAUGGCGAGGGCGCCCGAUCGGAAGGAGGAAAUCAGCUCCUCCUCAUCAUCAUCUUCCUCAUCUUCAUCCUCUUCAUCAUCGUCGUCAUCAUCGUCGUCGUCGUCAUCGAACACGACCGACCCCCUCCGCCGCCGUUGGAACUCCUUAGCGGCCUUCUUCCUCUUCUUCGCCAUCUCGAUGUCCUUCCGGCGCUUCUGCGCCUCGGCGAGGAGACGGUUGUGCGUCCGCCGCUCAACAUCUUCCGGCACCGGCGGGAGCGAGUGCGCGACCCGGGUUAGCGGACCCUACAAACGCAAAGCAGCUCCACGUCAGAGUGACAAUCGCAAGACACGAAGAAAGGAGGAGGACGCCCCAACUCCUUACCAGAUCUAUGAGCCCGCAUCCGGGCGCAUCGGCGGGUGCCCGGGAAUCGGGUACUCGACGUCCUUGUCCUCCAGCGCCUCCCGAAUCCGUUGCCGGAUCUCGGAAGCGACGAGCGCACCCGUCGCCAAGGCGGUGCCCUCGGUCGGCGCGUCGGGGGUCAUGGCGGCAAGCGGUCGGAUUCAGAGCAUCAGUGGCGCCACCCGUCGGGUGUGGUACGCUCCGAUGACCCCGGCGCCGGUGAGCCCGUCCCGCUUCAGCCGCUCGAUGGCCUGCAGCAGGUCGAAGAACCGCUUCUUGUCCUUCUCCACUGGCCCGUACGCCCACACCUCCGGCGCCGCGUCGAUGGUACGGCCGGUGAAAGCCGGCAGGGGGGAGUUCGGGUAGUUCUUCACAUAGAACCACUGGUUGUGCCACCCCUUGUGGGACGCCGAGGUCUUCAUCGUCAUGUUCUCCUUGGAGCGGGUAUGACGAAGGUGGAUCCCGGCGCACCCGAUCGGCACCGGAGGUGACCGCUGCUGGCUCCCUCGCUUCUCCGUCUUCUGGUACAGGCUCACUGUGAAAAAGUAUUUCCACAGCGAGAAGUGGGGCUCAAUGCCUAGGAAUCCCUCGCACAGGGCGACGAACGCCGCAAUGUGCUGGAUCCCAUUGGGUUUGAGGUGCUGGAGCUCGAGCCCAUAGUAGUGGAGGAGCCCCCGAAAGAAGCGGCUCGAGGGAGAGGCGAACCCCCGCUCAUGGAAGUGAGCGAAGGAGACGAUGUAGCCAGAGAGAGGCUCCGGCACCUGCUCCGGGCCCGACAGCAACCACUCAGCCGCCUCCGUCUUCUCGCAGAGGAGGCCUUUUCGCACCAGGCCCUCGGCGCGCGAGGAGGUGAAAUGGGAGAUCCCCCAGGAACCCAUCGCCGGAGGAGGGAGAUCAACGGAGGUGAGAAGAAAGGGCACGGCUUGGAGCAAAGGAAACGAAGCGGGCACGGACAAACUGAACGCUAGGCUGGAGGGCGGAAAGGCUCGAAUGCAGAAGGCGGGCGGAACCGGCGCGGCGGGCUCCCGUUUUUAUAGGAAAGGUACGGGAGAAGCCAAAUCGACGCCCCGGCCGCCAUAAAUGCGGCGCCAGGUACGCCCCUGCCACGCCCGUUUCCUUUUCGAAAACCGCGCGCACGGCCGGCCGCGAAAACAUCCUAUCCUCCUCGAUUCGCGGGAUGGCGCUUCCCAUAACUCCACCUCCCGGAAGGCACGACGUCCCCCACGUUCGGCCCAGACGUCACGACCGCUCCGUUCUGGCCCAAGGCCCACCGAAAGGUAAGAAAGGGAUACGGGGCUGAAAACGCCCCUACGGCCCAUUACGGUCCAGAGGUUCGAAGGCUGGCCCACCGCGGGAUCGACAGCUGCCUCAGGAUAUCUCCCGAGCAAGGGGUGAGAAGGGACGGGUCCACUAGCGGCCAACACCCAGGCAAGCGAAAGCCAAGGGCGUCCCGACCUCACGUUCGAGUCCCGUCCGGUAUAAAGUUCAUGGUUUUUCCACGGGGAAAGGCAACGAGCCCCCGGAUUCGGCCGAACGGACCCGGGAACUAUAUGAACUGGCCGGCGGGAAAUUGUAGUACGCCACCAGCUUGGCCCGAGCCGGACCCCCCCGAACGGGGACCGGGACUCCACUCGAACCUACCUGUUCGCAGCUCAAAGCGAGCACCACGGUUCGUCCAACUAGGAUAACGUGGCACGGCUCAACCCCUCCGUCCUAGCGAACGGACGCUUGAGGGGCAACGACCAAAAGUCGACCUGGCCUCCCGACCGGUCUCCCGCAACGAGCAGGGGCUCGGGGGCUAGCAUCGCAACCAACGACCAUGCGUAUGGUCACGAUUCCCAGGCUCCCCGGCCAAACCGGGAUGAAGCAAGCGCACCAUAAACAAAAUCCACGGAGAAACGGCGAAAGAAGCCUCCGGAGGAGCACUUUUUGCUCCACCACAGGCUCGGGGGCUACUGUUGGGGGGAAAUAUUAACGAUCCCCUAAAUACCGCUUAAAGGAGCAGACGCGAAGGCCCGGGCCCACCUAAGCAUAAUCAAAACUCCGCCUCGCCCGACCGCGGCCUCAGGGUCAGGAACGCCCGACUCCCCUCCACGAGGUUUCCGCCUCGUCCGACUACGGCCCCAGGGUCGGAGGCGCCCGACCCCUCGCCACAAGGUUCCGCCUCGUCCGACCCCAAGCGCAAGGGUCGGGCUCGCUGGGGCCCCCAGGGCAGGCAUCCCCCUCGGAUGCGGACCAGGUGGGCAAGGUAAACAAAUGCUGCGGGUCCCUCCCCCGUCGGGCUCAUCAUAAAUGCGCCGCAGGCCUGGCAGAGGGAGGAAUGACCGUGCUCCUCACACAACCCGCCGCAAGUACCCAUGCACGACCAUACUCUACAAGCUACAGCGCUGGCGGCUCACUCCCAUUCGCCGCAGGGUACUCAUGGCCUGCGCCGACCGGAGCGGAGGAGAGACUCGCCUGUCCUCGGGCCCCGCGCACCCUCGGGUCCCGUGCGCCUGGCAGCUAGGAUGUGACGCCCUCUCUCCAGGAGCCAUCAUCAGAACGGCAGCAUCCACCGUCCUCCCCAACGGACACCGGGAUAACGACGAAACGCCCUCAUCAUAACCCGACGCCGACGGAUGCCGAAGGAGCUAUCUGUAGGGUGCGACGACAGUUGGCGCACGGCCGCCUCCCCCUCCGGCAUGCACGCCGGCGCUCGCCAGGAGCCGGCGGAGGCGUCGGGCGUCUAGGAACUUGUUCCUCCCAUCCUGCCGUAUUUUUUACCGUACUACGUUCACAUUUUACGGUCCUCUUCGCCCGAUCCCAACUGUAACUCUGGCCACUCCCCUUGCGAUAUAAAAGGAGGAAGACAGGGCCGGAGGGGGGAUCGGCUUCUUCCCCCUCAAGCCACAGCACGCUAGUACGCUCCCUGAGAACAUAGGCACAAAGAGACUUGGGACCAGUCCCUCUCUCGUCGGUCUGUAACCCCUACUACAGAACUCCGCGUGGGUAAUACGAGCAUUCACGAUACUGGACGUAGGGCUCCCUUUGCCCGAACCAGUCUAAUUCGUGUCUCCCACGCCACCAUCUGAGGCCUUACGCGCAUAAAAGAAAUUUACUAGUCUAAGUCUUGAUCCGCCAAUCUUGACAACGACAAAUCUAAAAAUCCAUAACUAAUUAAUUUUAAAUCAUAAAAGUUUGAAACUAUUACCCAUCAUCUUUUUCUAGAAUGUUACCUUUUAUGUUGGUUUUUUUGAGUUAUUUGCAUAUUAUUGUCCCCAUCUCUAGUGUUUUAUUGCUUGUAGUCAAACCUACUAUUUAUUUAUUGUUGUUUUGCAUUGUAUGAUUAUUGGAUGCUAUGCGAUACAAAGAUAAUUGUUCAACAACCAUAUGCAUCAUGAAGAAAUUUCCGGAUACGAUUGAUAUUAGUACAUUAUUAACUUCUUAUCAAGAAAUAUCAAUGAAGUGUUUUAUAUGAAUAUUUUUAAUGCACCUUGAGUUUUUGGAUAACCUUUUUCAUAAAAGUUAAUUAGAUGCAUUCUUAACUAAAUAAGCCAUUUGGUAAUUUUUCAAAAAUGUUUAUUUAGGUAACAGAAAAUUUAUUUAUUUAUUCUGGAAAAAGUUUUUUUUUAACGAAGUUAGCAAGGAAAGCACCUACCUAUUCUUUAAUUGUUAUUUUAGAUCCGUUUAAUUCGCUCCCACGAGAAGUUGAAUAUAGACCUGCAGGAUGUUACUCAGGUGCUCUAACCACUAGACUAGAGUCCCUUUCGCUUCUGAAAAAGGUUUUACAAAAAUCUUUUCCCUAUUAUCUUUUGUUAAGUCUGGGAUGUUGCCGCACGUGGGAAAGAAAGAACGGGAAACAUAGACCGAGACCGCUGCUGCGCCGCCACCAUGCUUCGCCGUUGGAGGGUUAGGGUUCGGGGUUUCGGGUUAUGGGUCAUCGAUGGCGCGGCUAUCUCCGAUGUGGCUGGGAUAUAUGGGAGGUUGACGGUGGCUAGGUAGCAGGCGGUGGUGGCGGGUUGUGUGCGGGAUGGCGGGACACCACCAGUUCCGAUUUGUGGAAGACAAUAGGUGGCCUCUAGAGGCAGCGGGGGAAUCUUGGUGAGCUUCCCGCGCGGGGCUGGGUUAGGGCGGCGAAGGAUGGUGGCGGUGGAUGUGGCAGCGCGAGCCGCCGGAGAUGAUGGAGGAUGGCGGCGCGGGCGCGAGCAAAGGAGGACAGUGCGAUGGUGAUCGAGGGUUGCGACCGGCGACGCCGGAUGCAGUGGCGAGAGCCGUCGGAGCUAGAGGAGGAGGGCAGCGCGGGGGCAUGGGCGUGCGCGCUCCUGGGCUGCCAUCACUGAAGGUGACAUUGGUGAUUUUUGUCACCUUCUGUGAUAUAUAGAUAUAGACAUGCUCUAGAUAGAGGACUCCUUGGAGAGACCCCGAGAAUGGAGAUGGGCAUUUGGAGCUCUUCCAAAAUAAGGAAUCUAGAGGACUUGCUAGAAUGCAUUUUUUUUGACUUGGUCCAUUGGAGUUGUUCUAAGCCAACAACUAUUAGCAUCCUUUUAGAUAACUCUGUUAAUCUGAAAUACAACAGUUUCCUACUUUAUGUAUAAUGAGUGUCAUUGCGUCACUACGUACGAGGUCUACUUUAUGGCGGAUCUGAAGGUGUGUUUGGUUGGGAUGUGGCUUUUGGAAAAGCUACUGUGAGCUGUGGGCUGUGAAAAAGUAGCGGGGAGAAAGCAGCUGUGGGAAAAGCAGAAGACCGUUUGGUUAGAGCAGCUACGAAACUGUAGGUUGUGUAAGAAAUACCUGUAAUGCCCCUAAAGGUCUGCGGGUGUGUUUACAUGCAAAUUGCUCAUAACAAAAUAAUGUGUUCACUAAUUCACAUGUAAAUGACUAUUUUAGAAAGGAAAAAAAAUAAAUUUUAUAUGUUCUUCAUCCAUAUAAGUGAUUGGUCCACAUAAAUAGAACAAUAUCCAUCAAAAGGUUUAUACAAUGAUGUCAUCUCUCAACAUUACUGUCCUCCUCUCGCACUAACCAAAGCAUCAACUAUCCUAGCAUGAAUGAUAUUCAUGGUAUCCUCAUUCUCCAUAUCGUCACUCUCAUCUCCUUGUGUUUGUCUCGUGCCACUUGUAUAUUGUACCAAGUACUCCUACAAAACCGAGUUAGUAAGGUACAUAAUAAUACACGUAUUUCUAACUUGAUGAAGGAAUCAUGUAUACCUUUAGGAGGCACGAGAAAUAUGUCUCAAAGCAUUGUCGAGAAAAUUGAAAGAAAAGAUGAUGAACAAAGGAGGGUCAAUUCUUGUUGCUCUUUGGACUAGAGGAUUGACGAUGAUCAUUGCAGUCCUAACAAUUCUCUUGUUGCAGAACAGAGUAGCAACUUCUGAGUAGCAUAUGAUUCUUACAUCUUCCAGGCGAGGUGGCUAGUGUGCUGGAUGAAGUUGAGGUCCCUUGGCAACCUGGCAAACGCCUCCGUCAUGUCUGCAGGCAAAAUUUCCAAAAAAAACAAGAAGAUUUCAACACCACCAACAAAGCAAGCAUGUAAUCACCUGAUUAAUCAAUCAGCAAACAAUUCACAACUAGCAAUCUGUAGAAAUUAGCACGCCAUUACCGUCCUGGGUGAUGAGCGGGUAGUCGGAUGCGUUGAGGUUGACGAACCAGUCCCAGCGGCGGUGAAGGCGGAGCAGCAACGCGACGGCGUGCAGCGUGGUGGUGAGCAUGGUGGGGCCCCGGUAGGUGACGAGGUUGGGCCUGCCGACGAUCCACACGUUGCCCGCGAUCGCGUACACACCCCACCUGGACAUGAGCUCUGCCAGCCGGCAGUGCUCCUCCCCUGGACCGCAGGUAGUUGUUGGCCGGGUGGUACAGUGCCGCCAGCAGCCGCAUCGUGCGGCCCACUUCCCCUGAGGAUGCCGAGAUAAGGUAUGCGAACGAGAUCGGGUACCGCGGCGCCUCGCCGGCGGCACCGUCGAAGGCGGCCAACGAUGAGAGUGUUGACGUCGGUUUUUGACACGUGUCAGGGUCGACGUCAAGAGGAGAAGAAAGUGGCUGAUGCGGUUAAACAAGAAGCUAUGGCUAGAGAAAUCAGUCAGUAAAGCUAUAGUGUUUCAGCCGAUUAGCUAAUGAGAUAGAUGAAGACUGGCCGAUUGGAAGCUAGAAAAGCUCGGCCGAUAUGGGCCUAAAUGGGCCAAGGUGGUAACAAGAUGAAGAUAGGAUUGGCCCAUAGAGGAUUGGAUGGUGUUCGACUCCGAUACAAGUUGUAUCCGUAUGUAAAUAUUUGUUGCUUUGAAUAAGAAAUAGAAUAUUGAGUCAUAGUCGGUUAGGAAACGAGUUGUAACAGGGUAUAAAUAGGUGCCCCGUGAGGCUGGCAAAAACAUCAACAAACAUCAAUACAAAUCUACUUUUUCAUGCAACUUUACUUUCAUGUCGGCGACUUUGCCAAACCCUUUUCUUUUCACGAGUUCGUGUGAGUUGGCAGGGCUGCAUCAACGUGAUCUCCGAGCAAUUUGUAAGUUCCGCGUUUCGAGUAAUAUAUAAGCUUUAACUUUGGGCGUAUCGCUGUUGUUUUGUUUAGAUUUAUUCACUAGUUAUCGAUAUUUGCUAGAAUUAUAGGUUUUAUUCUCCGGUGGAAAGAUUGUGCCUUUGCCUGUAUUUCUCUUGCACUAAACUCAGGCGAUACCUAUUAUCGGCGGAAUGUGUGGUCGCGUGUAAAGUUGAUGUUGUCAAGUAUAUGUUAUCACUGCCGAUCUUGAAGGGAAGGAUUGGAAAAUGUAUUCUGGCACUCUCAGAAUUCGAUCUCAGGUACGAAUCGGCCAAGGCCGUCAAGGGUCAGGUAAGGCUGAUUUCGUCACCCAACACUGUGGAUCAGAAAUUACUGUCGUUGAGCCGGCUCCAUGGACUCUGUACUUCGAUGGAUAUUCGUGUGGGAUUGGAUCAGGAAUCGACAUAAUUCUUAUAUCGCCUCGGGGGGCAAGUUAUGAGUUCUCUCUGCCGAUUGAGGCUUCCGCUACUAAUAAUCAAGCAGAAAAUCGGGCUGUCUUAAAGGGCAUCCAAUUAUUGAGGGAGGUCAAGGCUGACGUGGUAGAAAUAUUUGGGGAUUCCAUGAUUAUCGUGGAUCAGUUGAUUGCAAAGUGUGAGUGCAAGGAUGAUAUUCUAAGGAUUUAUUAUGAGGAAUGCCUCCGGUUGCUCAAAGAAUUCAAGACCGUAACUAUUGAACAUAUCCCUAGGGAUUACAAUGAGGAAGCCAAUAGACUUGCCCAGCACGCUUCUGGCUACUGGCCGAUUCAUGGCGCUUUCGCUCUAGAGCUGGCGGCCGACAACUGGAGGAAGGAGAUCGCCGAUUAUUUAAAGGAUCCAUCCAAGAAAGUUGAUCGGCAGAUACGCUUCCAAGCCACAAAGUAUGUGUUACUUGAAGAUGAAUUGUUUUAUCGGACGAUUGAUGGAGUGUUUCUCAAGUGCCUUAGCAUUGAGGAAGCAAAGAUUUUGAUGGGUGAGAUUCAUGAAGGUCUAUGUGGGACCCAUCAAUCGGCUUUCAAGAUGAAGUCGAUGAUUAGAAACAAUGGGUAUUACUAGCUGACAGUACUUGAAGAUUGUUUCAAAUAUUAUAAAGGCUGUCAGGAUUGUCAAAAAUUUGGCAACGUGCAACGAGCCCCGGCCUCGGCUAUGAACCCGAUAUUAAAGCUGUGGCCAUUUAGAGGCUGGGUAAUUGAUCUCAUCGGUUAGAUCUAUCUGCCGUCAAGCAAAGGGCAUAAGUUCAUAUUGGUGGCGAUUGACUACUUCACCAAGUGGGUUGAGGCGGUUCCUUUGAAUGUUGUGAUGUCGGCCAACAUGAUCGAAUUCAUGAAGGAGCACAUCAUUUAUCGAUUUGGUAUUCCUCAGACCAUCAUGAUUGAUCAGGGGUCAAUGUUUACCUCAGGGAGUUCGAGGAGUUCACUGCCAGUAUGGGAUUAAGCUGUUGAAUUCUUCUCCGUAUUACGCUCAGGCCAAUGGUGUGACGACCCCGGUUAAAUCUUUCGAGUUAAUCUUAAUACGAGCCCCAAAAUUCCUCUGUCUCAGUUUUUCCCGAGCAGGAGUGCUCCACUCCAGUUCCUGUUCCUGACCCGUGAAGACUCUAACUCACCCCGCCAGUUCCUUUUAAGUCUCAACAACAGUGUCCCUUUCAAUCUUGAACAGAGGAAAGACCGAGACUGACGGAUGGACCCGCAAUCUUUUCCCCGGAUCUCCCGAGGCAUACGCACUCGAGCGGCCUGCACCGCUUCAGAGCUCCCCCGCCGCGUGGCUCAACUUCUCCGACGCCCGCCGCUUCACCCAAUCGCCGGCCGGGACAGGAUAGAUUCUCACGCCCUCCUCCCCAAUCGCAGCGGAAGCCCCUCUGCAACCCUUUCUGCUGCGCCUCGUCUCGCUCGCGCCCUCGCCGGCCGCGCCUUGGUGCUCCGACACCGCUGUGGCAGAGCUUUGCCGCUUGCUGCAUCCAAACUACCUCGCAGCUCACGCCCGUCAUCAUCUCACUGGAUCCCCGACUGCAAGGCCCGAUGCCUUCCGACUUUUCCACCGCCUCUACACAGUCGCGCUCGCCUGCGCAGCCGCAGCCUGCCUAUCUUUUCACCGGUUGCAACCUCGCUUGUAGCGCCGUUCUCCCUGUCACACCCAUCAGAUCCGCCGCAUGACGACGCCCGCCUCCGCCAAACCUCAACUACCGGCAAAACCGCGCCUGCGCCGCCUUGUCUCCCGUGCCCAAUAGCCAAGGACCCUAUCUCCGAAAUCCUGUUCCGCCGCCCAUCGACGCCCAGUCGCCGCCAUGGCAGCGCACUCCAUCCUUUUCUUCCGGUCUUCGUGCUACUCCAACUCCCUCUCUCUUUCGCGCAGCUAUAAAAAGGAAUGCCAGAGCCCUACUGGAGAUCCCUUCACCAUCGUUGCCUCGCCGCCUUGUUCCUGAGCGCCGCCACCUAAGUUCUUGAGGAACUCUCAUCUUCGCUCAACACCCGCCCCUCCCAAUCCACCAAGCCGCCUGCUCCUCCACGCUAUGCUAGAGCUUCCUUGUUGCUCACAAGAAGCUCCGCCGCCGCCGGAGCACCGCCGGACAUAGCCGCCACCAAAGCCUUAGUGCUUAAGACCUUCCGCCCAAGUCUACUCCUUCCCGACCCCAAAGCUUCACCUAUAAACCAAAGGUAAGCUGCCGACCCCUUACCGGUUCGCCCGACCCUACCUGUUCGCCUGACCCUACCUGUUCGCCCGACCCCUCUUUCCAUCUCGCCCGACCCUGUCUGUUAGCCGGCCCUUAUCUUCUUCGCCCGAGGACUCGGCUGUACUCUUUUCCUUGACCCGAGGGUAUCUGUGUAAGAUUUCGGGGACUUCUCUGUAAUAGCUUUGAGGACCCCAAACACAUUAAGGCUUAUGGGUCAGAUCAUAAGUUCUUCCAAUUCGACCCUUGGUCUUGUUCUCUAUCCACUGAAGCUUGAACCCCCACACUCUUUCCGUAGCUUUGCUACAAGUUUCUGGGCUAAGACUUGCGAGUGUUGCUGUUGAAAUAACCGUCUAGACACUAACUCCAGCAUUGCAUUCGUGUAGAGUUUCAUCUUGCUGACGGCGUCUACGAACUACACCCGGUGCCAGAAGACGGAGCUGUAGCUGAGCUACCAGUUCCAGAAGCCGAAGUCGCACCAGCUGAAGACCCGCUUCCCUCCCCUCCACUUGAAGGCAAGUCCCGGAGCAUGAACCCCAAAGUUUCCCAAACUUGCGCAUGCCUUCUUUCUCAUGUUUGUGCAUUUACGUAUAGGAGUUGUUUGCAACCUUAGAUGCAUGGUAUAGUUCCUUGAUCGGAACACUAGUUGUUGAAUCGAGUAGUUGCUAUGCUUAAAUAGGAAGUGGUAAAAGUCGAGUGAUUUCCUGUCACUCGCGAGUUAUAGGAGUUGGUUGUUCUCCUUCUGUUACAACUAUAAGGACGAUGGAUGGGGCAAGGUUUUGGUUAACUCUUUUGCUAGUCGGCUGAUCCCCCCGUCUGUCUAUGGAAUCUGUUAAGGCCCGAUAGUGGUGGUGUUCGUGAUCAAGUGUUUGAAAGUACUAAUCUCAUACCUAGUAUGGGAUGGGGAAGCCUAGUACCUGAUUGAACUAGGGCGUGGCUUAUACCCCUGCUGUCCCUGGAACGAGGUUCCCAUGGUGCAUCAUGUGGGUGCAAGUGCGGUCACAGUACGGUAGAGGCCGGGAUUGUGGAGCAUUGCAUGCCAAGGGAAGUUGGACCUGACACGUGCCUGGGAAUUGAUGGGGACGGCUGACACAGGAAGCGACCCUUGUGGUGCGCGGAUGUCGUGAGAUUAGGUUUGCCAUGCAUGGUUAAGAAACUCGAAGGAUUCGUCUGCCUCUCACAGUUUGAGACUGCUUGAUCGCUAUGCUACACUGAUUAAUGAAAGAGUCUGAUGAUGACAUGGUCUUGAUGAGUAGCUUAUAUACAUAAAGUUGGAUCUAUGUUUGCUUAGAGUAAGAUGCCAACGUAGACUGGUUAAUGAACUUAGAAUUUGAGCUAAAACUUGAAAGCAAGGACCUAACGUAGUAGCUUUUGGCAAACAAAACCCCUCAGCCAAAGAGCCUUGCAUGUCUAGACGUGGUGGAGUAGUUUUACCACCGGUCGGUUAAGUCUUGCUGAGCGUAGCAGCUCAACCUUGUUUGUGGCUUUCUUUUCAGGUGAAGUCGCAGCUCCUGAGUUUGCUUCCGUUGGCACUUGGCCGCCCCAGCUCCCUCCGGGUUGGACGGUUGAGUGGGAUCCUUCCUCGGACGGUGAGGAGAGGGAUCAUUGAUGUCCUGAUCGGCCUCAUUAGGGACAUCCGACCCUGGCGCUAGCUUCCGCUAAUUUAGCUUUCCGCUGCUUUUGAAUCUUGUAAAACUCUGAUUUUUGUUUUUAUGUUGAACUAAAUUGUCAAACUUGUUUAACUCAGUGGAUCUGUUGUAUUCUCUGAAACCGCUCACCUUCGUGUGAGUUUCGCUAAUCCGGUCCUGUAAGUGGUUUAAUCGGAGGAAAUCCGACGGCCCUUCGAGUUAACUUGACUAAGGCAUAAGUGUCGCGUGUCAGGCGACUUAACAAUGCUUUAAUCAAGGUAAUCCGAGGUGGUUCCACCACAAAUGGUCAGGCCAAGUCAUCAAAUAAGGGGGUUAUUAAACUGAUUAAAAGGAAGGUCAAAAAACAACCAAGACGGUGGCAUACAACGCCGAAUGAGUCCUUAUGGGCUUAUCGGAUGGCUUGCCGCGGUGCCACCAAGGUGUCCCCUUAUCAGUUAGUAUAUGUGCAUGAAGCAGUAUUACCUUGGGAGUUGAAGACUGGGUCUAGACGUGUGUCACUUCAGAAUCAGUUGUCGGUUGAUGACUAUUCCGCCCUCAUGAGGGGAGAAUUGGAAGAUUUGGCGAAUCAACAGCUAAGGGCUUUGAUCAGCAUUGAGGAAAAUAAGAAAAGAGUCACCAGGUGGUAUGACAAGAAGGUCAAGGUCAAAAGGUUUUCCCAAGGGGAUUUAGUCUGGAAGUUGGUUCUGCUGAUAGUAUGGAAAAUGGUCGCCCACUUGGGAAAGGCCAUAACGGAUUAGCCAAUGUGCUCUAGGCAAUGCAUACAUACUGGAGACUUUUGAGGAAGAAGAAUUUACAAGGGCCUUGAAUGGAAGAUAUUUGAAAAGAUACUACCCUAGUAUAUGUGUAGGCGCUUAGCCGAUGAUGUGGCAUAACGGGCUUUCACGGUCGACGCGUACUGAUUCGUGUUCAUAUAGCCGAUGCAAGGGGCAUCGCCUUAAGAUUGAAAGAGGCGAAAUAGUGUAUAUAUAACUAAACCGAUCAUUAUUCGGUACACCAACUAAAUAUAUGGCCGGCAUGAUACAAGUCGCCCUUAGAUAAAAAGUACCGACACAGUUAUGGGUUACAACGAUUUAACAACGUUUCAUGUGAGCUUUAUUCAUAUCGAUUUCUUUCUGAAGUCGAUCCAAUUCGAUCUGGAGUCGGGCGUUCUUCUCCUCUAGUUCUGCCAUGUCAUCUUCAACAGCAACUUGACAGGGUAACAGAUGGCUUCUUUCGACUGAUUGCCGUGGUUGCCUUCUAGAAGCUUUAGCCUCGAUGUCAUCCACAAUCCUCUUGAUAUUCACGGGGAGGUGAUCUCUGAGUUCCUCACGAUGAGUUUGGAUCAGGUCUUUGUCAGCCUGAGUGAGCGGUUCAUCGGAGUGGAGGAUCUCAAUGGCUCGUUCAAGAUCACGGCUGAGUCGGUUUGGCUACGAGAAGAAUUGAUGAUCAAUUGACAGAGGGAUUGGUCGAGAGAUAGGAGAUUGACUUCGUACCUGAUUGACAGAGGAGGAGGAGGCCAUCUUGGUCGCUCGAUCGAAGAUUUGUAAGCGCGCGCAAGGAAUGGUUGAGUGGGUGUUUUGCGAAUGCCUUCAGAAGGGAUGCGAAGGGUUUGUACUUAUAGAACAGAAUGGCAAUGGACAAAGGUCGGUAAAAGGAGGGCAUUUAAAGAAAGCGACCGUUGAGUCAUAAAAGCUACGUGAGGACUGUUCAGACUUGCAUUUCAGACAAAAACGCCAAAAGUAUCAACGUUACACAAGAUGUUCAAAGGCUGGUUGAGUUCGUUACAACUAUCCGAGGAGAUUGUUUAUGGUCUCAAUCGCUCGCAGGCGAACUUGGUUGGCCACCUCCAACACUCGCCGAUCAUCAUCGGCUGAUCCUAAGACUUCUGGCGCAUUGCGAUGAAGAUGGAUGGCCUCGUGAGUGAGGGAUUGUCUUUCUUGUUUAAAAUCAACGAUGGCGGUUGGAAGAUCUUCAAGUUUCUUUUCUUCGGUAGCGAUAGCCUUUACGACCAGUUCCAUCUCCUUGGUGAGCUCUGCUCUGCGCCAUUUGAGUUGGUCUAUUUCACUGAUGAUGCUUGGAUGAGAAGUCUCAUGGAGACCGAUCUACCGAUGUACGUGUUGUGCACGGUGCUUGUAGGACUCUUCUUCUUGACGCACCAUCUCCAAUUUAGCACGGUCAGCCAUGUGUCGCAAGGCUCUAAACACCGGGACCCGCAUGGUUUCGAUAUAUGCUGCGGGUGUGAGAACCUCUUCUGCGUCUUCUGGGACUUGGCCUUUGAUCUCGUUGAAAAUCCACCGUAUCAGUUUGGCAUCUUCCACCAAUCGACCGAUGUUUUCCUGAAGAAGGGUUCGCAUGUUUUGGAGCUUGGCACGGACAUCUUCUGGUAUUGAGCUCAGAGUUAUUUGGCGUGAUGCAACUUCUUCGUCAUCAGAGACCGCAAUUGCAGAGGAGAAGAGGCUUUUGUUUGGCGUGUCUUACUCCUGCAGGGAUGUGGGAAAGUGUUUUAGCCGAUAAAAGUAAAAAAUCGGCUGGUAGAUAUAGAAGGUUCUUACCUCCUUCAAACAAAUCUCUUCUGCUUGGGUUGGCAGAGUCGUUACUCCCACCUCAGAAGUUUGCGGAGGUAGCUCAUUAGAGGGGGAAGACUUGACAAUGAUCGGCUCUCUAGGCGUAGCUGAUAAUGUGCUUGGACCAGCCUCCUGGAAAAGGAACAAAGGAAUCAUUUUUGAGUAUAAAAUAAUACUGGAUCUAAGUAGAAGUCUCGGUUUUCUUACCUCUCGGACGCGCGCAGCCAACGGUAGCACCAGGGGAAUGACUGACGUAUCUGGAGCGUCCUGUGUCAAGAAUCGUCUGAUUUUAGUUAUCAGAACUGUGGAGACUAAGGGAAGAGCAUGUUCUUUACCUCAAUUUGAAGAUUUGUAGGUAACACAAUUUUAGCUUGAGAAUCGGCCAAUUAAGGAACAGUCUGCUCUAGGAUAGGUUGUACGGCCUGUUGAAAAGAAACAAAUUUAGUAUUGGUGAUACAUAUGAAGAAGUCAGAGCAGAAAGAUUACUCGUGUAGCUUUCACCAAGAGUAACACAAUCGCCGACCCAGCCUCUGAUGCUGCUAGGGGAUCAAUGUCCUGAAUUGCCGACAAUACAUCUGCUUGGAUUGGUGCGGCUGAGGGCUCGACCGAUGUUGCUGCCGAUUGGUGGGUUGUUCGAGUUGUCGUAGAUUCAGUACGAGCUCAUACCCUGCGACUCGUCUUCUUUGUGGUGGAUAUUUUGAGCUUAUGCUUCAAUCGGUUGGUGGCUAUGUCCUCCAUUGAUGGGGCGUGAUAGCCGAUGAGAGGGUACGGUGUGUACGGAUGAUGGGUCUGUAUCAGUCUGCCACUCUAACUGUGCGUUGGAGGCACUUGGCUAUCAACCUGUGCAGGGUAAAAGGAUAAUGAUAAGAAAGUUCUGCAACAUGUGAAAAUUAUUGGUAAGGAAUCGACAAAAAAGUAUUGUUACCUCUGCAUUCGGAUCAGUGUGAGCGGGGUCCAGUUGAUUGCAAUACACUGCAGGGGCCGCACAGGAAAGGUACUGUUUCCACUCGGCCCACCACAAUUUGAAUUGUUGAGUGGAGAAGGGGACCACCAGCCAAGCGCUCAGAUCGAUGGUGUCGGAAUCCGGUGUCAGAUUACACAAUCUGUUGUAUUCCAGUCCUUUUGAAAUCGGUUCUCAAAAUUUCACUCGGCCGACGAAGUGAAUCCGAUUGGUAUUUGUCCCAAGCCAAAUUGCCGAGCUGCUACCGACGGGUUAUAGAACUCAUAUGUUGGAGAGUCCUUGCCAGAGAAGAAAUUUGCCGGUAGAAUCCCAGGUUGAUCAGGGUGUCCAUGAUUCCUUCAUCGAAGGUAUCGGUAGCCUAGUCAAAACAGUCAGGAUUCUAAAAAGUUGGGUUCUCUCUCUGAUAUGGAUACCAAUUCGUCACCUCUUCUUUAAAGCUGUUGUAAAAGCAUCUAAAGUGCUCGGCUAUUCUUGAGGGGGCAAGCUUGCCGCCUGGGAAAGUGGAUACGGCUUCACUAAAGGAAGUACAGCGGCGUCUGGCCAAUGGGUCGGUUUCUGAUUUAACAUUAGGAAAGUCUUGGUCUCAAUCCGCUCCUUGAAGAUUUCGCUCAUAUAUAAGUUGAGCUAGAGAUUGACAAACCACCAAGGACCACCAGGAUUCCUGAUAGGUUCUCCAGAUGAUAGCUUCACGCCGAUGUGAUGCAGCAUGUAAUACACUGACCCUAGUAGAUGCUUUCCCAAAGGGACUGUGGCUCCUCUAACUAGUGCUUCGGCCAAAGCCUGUGUGUUGGAAGUAGGACUGGCUAAUUUACCACAGAAGACAUACCUUUCCUGCCACAUCAUCAAGAAGGUCGUGUGCUCUUUUUCUGUGUUGGGUCCGGUCCUCAUGUUCUUCUCAAUGUAGCCUUUCCAUGUGCUGAUGGCUUUCGUCUCCAGCCGAUGGGUGGGUUUGAUUAAGAAAUCGAAAGGUGAGUCGGUGGAGGAAACAUCGAGGCCAGUCAGCAUCAGAACAUCGGCCAGGGUUGGAGUCAUUGGCCCAUGGUCGAAAAGAAAUGCAUUGAGAGCAUCGGACCAAAAGUAAGAUGCCGCGAUGAGCAGAGAUUCUUUCUUUUCCAUAUGAGAUAGAGAUAAAUUUCUGCAAUGGCCGAUUUUUCGCUCAUCCCAGAAGACUCUGUUGGAAUUUGACAUUCUAAAAAACCAAUCUCUCCAUCCGGGGGUUUGAUUCGGCCAAGACUUGAAAGUGUUCGCCCAAUUGUCUAGUUCCAUGGUCGAUUGCUUAAAAGGGAUCCUGUGAGUUUCUAGUUUAAUCAGAUCGGUUGGGUUAGGAUCUCCCAUAGAGCCAAGAUCGAUGAAUCCAGGGGUGUUGGCCAUGGGAUGGUGAUUCUUUGCCUGAGUUCUUGAGCAAAUGCGAAGAAAGACUAAGAACAGAUCUAAAAUCGCGAAAAGAUGAGGAGAGCCUAGAAGACUUACCUCAGGAACGAAGGUCAUGGUAGCUAUGGGUGCCACCAUUGGAGCUUGGGAGUUGGUGCGGUCGGUGAAGGACGUGAGCAAGUCACUGGAGUGCGCUGGGAUGUGCCUAGAAGUGGCACGAGCAAGGUCGCUGGGGUGUGCCGGGAGAUGAUUCGCUGGAAAGGAAACCCUUUUCGCCCGGAGGAAGAUGAAGCGGCGGAAGAGAUGAGUAUCUGCACGAUGACUCGGGAGAAGGGUAAAUAUGAAAUUUUUACCACGCCGUCUGCGCUAAUUUCGAAAGGAGCGGUUGCCUACAGGUGCUCAGUUCGAAAAAAUGCAAUCAUCAAGGAGAAGAUUUCGGGAGCAAAGAGGGUUUUGCUGCAUUUAUUGUUGCGUCUUUUCUGAAAGAAGGAAUCAGAGUUGAGAAAAUUUCGGAGAAAAAGAUAUGUUUCACUAUGAAGCUGGGAGGCAUGUGUUGAUGCCAGUUUUUAACACGUGUCAGGGUCGGUGUCAAGAGGAGAAGAAAGUGGCCAAUGCGGUUAAACAAGAGGCCAUGGCUAGAGAAAUCGGUCAGUAAAGCUAUAGUGUUCUGACCGAUUAGCUGAUGAGAUAGAUGAAGACUCACCGAUUGGAAGCCAGAACGCUGGAUUUUGACACGUACUUGAAAUCGGUGUCAAAGAAGGAGAAAGGGGGGCCGAUGCGGCGGACUAGAAGCUACAGUUGGGAAUCGGCCGAUUGAAGCUACAAUGUUUCAGCCGAUUGGCGGAAGAAAUUGGUGGAGGCUGGCCGAUUGGGAGUCAAAGCAGUUUGGCCGGUUUGGGCCUAAGGUGGGCCAGGAUGAAUAUUUGCUGAAGAGACAGGCCCGUGGGAAAAUAAUAACCAACUCGAAUACGAGUCGUGUUUGUAACUAUUUGUUGUCGUUUGAAAUUAGAGAUAGAUUCUAGUCGGUUAGGAAAUCAGUUCCAACACGCUAUAACUAGCUACCUCGAGAGGCUUGUAAAAAAAACAACACAUCAAUCAAUACAAAAAAAAUUACUCUUUCCUCGUACUUUACUUUCAAGUCGGCGACUUCGCCAAAACCUUUUUCUUUCACGAGUUCGUACGGAUUGGCAGGGCUGGAUCUACAGGAUCUCCGGCCGAUUCUGUAAGUUCCACUUAUCGAGUAAUACUAAGCUUUAACUUCGGGCGCAUCGCUGUUAUUUUGUUUAGAUUUAUUCACCAGUUAUCGAUAUCAACUAGAGUCAUAGGUUUUACCUGUUAUUUUAGUUUUUAUCACCAAUUAUCCAUCUUGAGGUACGAACUGUCGGUUUUUAUUAUUCUUAUCCUUUAUCAUCACAUAGCCGAUUAGAUCUACUCCAAGUUUUGCUUCUGUAGUGUUGUUUAGGUUGCUGUAAAAGUUUUCCUUAUGAUUGCUACAUGAGUAUCGGCUGUCUUAUAGCCGGUCAUCUCUACGGUAAAUCGGCCGAUUCGCUGAUACGCUCUUCAAGACAGAUCGGAACUCUAGCCGAUCGAAACCCCUAGAAUUUAAUAUUCUUCUUUCCAUGUCAAUCAUUAGGUCAGAUUGACUGGCAUGCCGCGCGAACCGCACUAGGGCAAUAACUCGAACAGGAGCUAAGUAGAUUCUCCUGGGUCGUGUGUCCGACGCUGAGGGUCAUCGGCCAAUUUUCAGCACCAACACACUUUUGGCAUGCCCGGUGGGACCAAACAAGAUCCAACAUGUCGAAGGCUGCUGAGAUCUUUGAAGAUAACGUCCUUGAAGUCAUUGAAGAAAAUCUCAAGGACGAUCAGAAGGAGGAACUGGCGAGGGCUAUAGAAGAAUACAGGAAGACAUGCCUGCAAUCUUUCAUUCGUACCAGAAGCGGGGAGACAGUCAAGAAAGCUCCUCUCUCCACUUCCCGCCAAAUCACCGUCAUCGAGGACUCAGGGAAGAUGUCUGAGAUGAUUCAACAGUCCGUUUAUCAGGCUAUGAUUGACCAAUCCACGGUGAUGACCAACACUGUAUACAACGCCAUCAUCAGCUCCUUGGUUAGCGGCGUAGCUCAGGGGUAUCAGGGACUAGCGUAUGCUCCUCCCAUCGUGGCACCGAUCAGAGGCUUCUUAGCAGCGCCAAACGUGUGUCACUCGACUCCUCAACUAAUGCAGAUGCAACGUGGAGGGUACUACACUUCAAUGCCCCUGGGGUACAAUGGUGCAUCAUUCUAUCAAUCGCAAGAACCGUCUCAUCCUAUGCCAAUUUCAUCCAUACAAUCGCCGCUCUCAAACUCGGCGCCAUGGGGGGUAGCAGCAGCAACCGCCGGUCUGGAUCCGUCAACCAGUUAUGGAAAGUCUCCAGUCCAGGCGUUAUUCCAAUCGGCCGAGGCCGAUAGCCCCGCAAUACCAAACAACCACUUCAGAUAUCGGCAGGAGGACAGGCGCUCUAGAAACACUCAGGGUUGCGGCGUCGAUAAUAUUGUACGAUGAAGUGACAGAUACACUAUGUCAGCAGCCAUCGGCUACUCAGCCGACAACCCAGCCACAAUAUCUGCAGAACACUCCAGUUUAUCACCCGAUCAUGGAACCGCAAAUCCAACAGCACGUACCGAUUCCUCAGCCGGUCGUGCAUCAGCAGCAGGUUGAUUGGACCGCGAAGAUAGCAGAGGUAAUUCAAGAUCAGUUUGUGUUAAAAGCAAAAGUACAAACUUACAUGUACAAGACGCCAUACCCACUUGCCUACGAUCUGUUACCGUUCCCUCAUCGGUACAAAGUCCUUGACUUCACCAAGUUCUCGGGCCUAGACGACACGUUGACUGUCGAGCACGUUAAUAGGUUCAUCAUCCAGUGCAGGGAGGCUGCUACGCAAGAUGCUUUGAUGGUGCGCUUGUUCUCGUCAUCCCUAUCCGGAUCAGCCUUGCAGUGGUUCACUACACUGCCGCCCAACGCCAUCGUUACCUUGGCCGAUUUGGAAAAGCAAUUCCAUAAGUACUUCUAUGCGGGAAUCCACGAGAUGAAACUCUCAGACCUAACUAGCCUCAAGCAAAGAAGCGAUGAGUCGAUGGCCAGCUACAUACAGAGGUUUAGGAAAGUUAGGAACAAGUGCUACACCUUGGUCUGGACUGACACCCAACUAGCCGAUAUCACCUUCCAAGGACUCCUGCCACACAUCAAAGAGAAGUACGCCUCCCAGGAGUUCGAAAGCUUGAGCCAAAUCGUCCAUCGGCUGUCCGGCCAAGAGAUACACCCUUUCGACCAACGAAGGAACUUUCAAAAGAAGGUAGCUUAUGUGGAAGGGUCUGAAUCGGGAGAGAAGGCGGAAAUCGGCCUAGCAGAGUCGGUAAAAGGAAAAAAGCCGAUAUCAUGCCCGUUUGGAAAAAAGGAACCAGAAACAUUCGGCUUUGACACGUCAAAAGCCGACAAAGUCUUCGACUUGCUGCUUCAAGAGGGGCAGAUCAAACUUUCGCCUUACCACACCAUUCCGUCGGCCAAGCAGCUCAAAAAGAUGAAAUACUGCAAAUGGCACAAUACCACAUCCCAAGACAAAAAUGAGUGCAAGAUCUUCCGACAAUAGAUACAAUUAGCCAUUGAGCAAGGAAGACUCAAGUUCGAGGUUCCAGCAAAACCAGUGAAGCCGAUGAAGAUUGAUCAACAUCCCUUCCCCGCCAACAUGGUCAAUGUAGGAAGAAACGCACUCCAAACCAAAGUUUUGAUGUUAGAAUUGGCCAGGAGAAGCGGUGCAGUGGAUCCCAAAAAUCAGGCCACGAUCGGAGAUGUCAAAGGAAAAGGACGGAUGGAAGAAGAAGGUGAAGGAUCAGAAAGGCCACGUCGGCCUGUCACUUCCCAAGACUUACUCAGCAAGUAUCAGCAGCAGCGGGAAGAUUCAAGACGCCACGAAGAGAUGAUGCGCCGACACGAAGAUCACUGGAGGUGCCCGUUUUUCAUCCACUGCUGGGAGAAUAACCUUAGAUUACCGUCGGCUGAUAAUUGCCCUGAGUGCAACGGCCAGUAUCGCAGUGGUCGUCCGUUCAAUAGAUCACGCUCCAAGGAUCGAGGGCUAGAGCCAAUCAGCAGAAAGAGGCACGAGCAAGGAGAUCGGCGCGUUUCAGUGCGUGAUCGGCUGGGGGGUAGAGUUGACCAGCAUAAUCGGCUGGGGGGCAGAACCAGCGCACAUGAUCGGCUGGGGGGUAGAACCAGCGCACAUGAUCGGCUGGAAGAGAUAGCUGACGCCAAAGUCUCAGAUGAGAACCUCCUAGGGUGAGAAUCAGGCUGGGAGCGUGCAAAGCCGCCGAGUAAACCAGUAAACCCCAGAUGGUGCCCAGCCGGUUUGACUAAGUCCUUGAAACGGAGGGUCCAGCGUUUGCACCAAUGGGAGCAGCAAGAAGAAAAACAAAGGUAGGUGAUGGAUAACAAAGGGGACAGGUCUCGAGUAUGGCGUCCUAGAAGAAAAUCCGACGCAGGAGACUAAAAUCAUGAUUCGACAGCUGACUUCAGCAUGAUGUUCAUCUUGCCGAUGGAGUUCAUGCCUCCCGCCGACCGGGACAAUGCGAUAGAGAUAGAGGAGCAAAUGGCACAAUUGGCUCUGGAGCCAAUGACCGCCACUUUUGAGAAACCCGAGGAUUAAAAACGCCAACAUCUCAAGGCCCUGUUCCUCAAAGGACAUGUCAACGGACGACCAGUCACCAAGCUGUUGGUAGAUGGAGGCGCUGCUGUGAACAUCAUGCCCUAUGCUAUGUUCCGCAAAUUGGGCAAAGGUAAAGAAGAUCUAACAAAGACGGAUAUAAUGCUCAAGGAUUUCGAAGGCAACGUAUCUCCGGCCCGAGGGGCACUCUGCGUCGACCUCACCAUCGGGAGUAAGGCCCUACCCACUAUUUUCUUUGUUAUUAAUGGCAAAGGCUCCUACAACAUGUUGCUCGAGCGAGAUUGGAUCCACGCAAACUGCUGCAUCCUGUCUACGAUGCACCAAUGCCUUGUCCAAUGUGUCGGCGACAACAUCGAAGUAGUCAUCGCCGAUUCCACCUAUAGCGUUGCCACGGCCGACGCACAACAGUGGAGCUACGAUCACGUCAAAUUCAAAUAUGGUAGGGUUUGGGACACCAAUUUCCUAAAGGUGUCCGAUUUCGGUCUACAGCCAAUCCAAGCAGUCAGCUCUAAAGAAUCAAGUUAAAAUGGAUCAGUUCAUCUGAGAAGAUGGGAAGCUCGGGCACGGGUUUACGUCGGCCGAUUCAUUGGAGAUGGUGGACCUUGGAGAUGGCAACAAGCCAAAGCCGACGUAUAUUCGUGCUAGGUUAGAACCCGAGUAUAAGCAUGAAUUAAUGAGUCUUUUACGAGAAUUUAAAGAUUGCUUUGCUUGGGAGUAUCAUGAGAUGCCUGGUCUAGACCGGUCCAUCGUCGAACACCGGUUGCCUAUAAAACCAGGGCAUUGGCCGCAUCAGCAACCUGCACGACGUUGUAAUCCUAAAAUUUUACCUGAUAUAAAGGCCGAGAUUACAAGAUUAAUUGAAGCAGGGUUUAUUCGGCAAUGUCGCUAUGCCGAGUGGAUUUCCAAUAUUGUGCCCGUAUACAAGAAAAAUGGAAAGUUACGUGUGUGCAUUGACUUCAGGAAUGUUAAUCAGGCUAUGUCGAUGGAUGGAUAUCCGAUGCCGAUGGCUGAUGUUUUAAUAGACGCCACCGCAGGACACAAAGUCAUCACCUUCAUGGAUGGUAAUGCUGGGUACAAUCAGAUAUUAAUAGUCGAAUAAGAUAUUUCAAAGACGGCUUUCAGAUGCCCAGGCCACCUCGGUUUGUUCGAGUGGGUAGUAAUGAGUUUCGGUUUAAAAAAUGCUGGAGCUACGUACCAACGGGCUAUGAAUUAUAUAUUCCACAAGCUUAUUUGUGUCCUGGUGGAGAUCUACAUUGACGAUGUCGUGGUCAAAUCAAAAGGGUAUCAGGAACACCUGGCCGAUUUGCGAAAAGUGUUGGAAUGCACAAGAAAGCAUGGGUUGAAGAUGAAUCCAAACAAAGUGUGCCUUCGGCGUUUCGGCUGGACAGUUUCUGGGAUUCAUGAUUCACGAGCGAGGCAUCGAGAUCAAGCGAAAAAUUAUAGUUGCUAUCAACAAAGUCGUGGGCCCCCAGAAUAAGACUGAGCUACAGUACUUAAUCAGCAAGGUUAACUUCAUCCGACGGUUCAUAUCUAACUUGUUCGGGCGUAUUCAAGCUUUCACCCCUUUGUUGAAAUUAAAACCCGAUCAAGAAUUUGUAUAGGGUAAGGAAUAGCAGAAAACAUUAGAUGGCAUCAAACAAUACCUAGUCUCGCCACCAGUAUUGGUUCCGCCGCAGGCCAACAAGCCAUUCAAAUUAUACCUAUUGGCUGAUGAACGAGCUAUUGGGUUGGCGCUGGUCCAGGAAUGUGAAGGAAAAUAAAGAGUAAUCUAUUAUGUCAACAGAAGACUCCUGAACGUUGAAACUAGAUAUCCUCCGGUGGAACGGCUGUGCCUUUGUCUAUAUUUUUCAUGCACCAAACUCAGGCACUAUCUGUUAUCGGCAGAGUGCAUAGUCGUUUGCAAAGAUGAUGUGGUCAAGUACAUGUUGUCAUUGCCGAUUUUGAAAGGGAGGAUUGGAAAGUGGAUUCUAGCUCUCUCAGAGUUCGACCUGAGGUACGAAUCGGCCAAAGCUGUCAAGGGGCAAGUAAUGGCCGAUUUCGUGAUCCAGCACUGUGGACCAGAAAUUACUGUCGAACCAGCUCCGUGGACACUAUACUUUGAUGGGUCUGCGUGUGGGGCCGGAUCGGGAAUCGGCAUCAUCCUCAUAUCGUCUCGAGGGGCAAGUUAUGAUUUCUCUCUGCCGUUUGAGGCGUCCGCUACUAAUAAUCAAGCGGAGUAUCGGGUUGUUCUAAAAGGUAUCCAAUUAUUAAGAGAGGUCAAAGCUGACGUGAUGGAAAUUUUUGAGGAUUCCAUGCUCAUUGUAGAUCAAUUAACUGGAAAGUCUGAAUGCAAGGAUGAUAUCUUGAGGAUUUACUACGAAGAUUGCCUCAAGUUAUUGAAGGAGUUCAAGUCUUUGAUUAUUGAGCAUAUUCCCAGGAAUUACAACGAAGAAGCCAAUAGACUUGCCCAACAUCCUUCCGGGUAUCGGCUGUGUUGACGCCAGAUUUUGACACGAGUAAAAUCGGCGUUAGAAGUGGAAGAAAUUAGGAGAUGCGGCGAGAUACAAGGGCAACGAUUGGAAAUCGGCCGAUUGGUGCUACAGUCAAGGAUCGGUUGGUUGGUGCUGCAGUCAAGGAUCGGCCAAUAGAUGCUACAGACGAGGAUCGGCCGAUUGAUCCUUAGAGUUCCGCCUCGCACGACCCCUGGUUUGGGAUCGGACACGCCCGACCCUCCAAGGGAGGAUCUCCGCCUCGCCCGACCCCUGGUUUGGGAUCGGACGCGCCCGACCCUCCAAGGGAGGAUCUCCGCCUCGCCCGACCCCUGAGGUUUGGGAUCGAACGCGCCCGACCCUCCAAAGGAGGAUCUCCGCCUCGUCCGACCUUAGUUCCCAGGGUCGAAAUGAGUCUGAGCCCUCGAUAUGUGGGUCCUGAUCGGUUACCCCCCUUGCCAAAGAGGUGAUCGGCCGAUUAGGAGGUUGGAAUAGUUGGGCCGAUGUGGGCUCAAGAAGGAUUAUGAAGAUGAAGAGGGGGUCAGCCCAUGAAGCGCGUGAAAAUAGUACGAAUCGUACUUGUAAAUAUUCGUUUUCUGUUUAAAUUUAGGGAUAGAGUUCUAGUCGGAUAAGAAGUCGUUUGUACGGGGCUAUAAAUAGCCACCGUUGUAGAUCUGUAAUCAUCAUCAACUCAAUACAACAAACUACUAUUUCCUCGUACUUACUUUCAAGCAGGCGACUUUACCAACACUUUUUCUCCUUUUUCACGAGUUCGUACGGGUUGGCGGGGCUGCAUCAACUUGACCUCCGGCCGAUCUUGUAAGUUCCGUUUAUCGACUAAAUUCUAAGCUUUAACUUCGGGCGCAUCGCUGUCAUUUCGUUUAGAUUUAUUCAUCAGUUAUCGAUAUUUACUAGAAUUCUAGGUUUUACCUGUUGUUCUAGUUUUAUCACCAAUUAUCCAGCUAGGAAUCGGUAAAUUCGGCUUUCUUUAUACUUCUCUGUCUAAUCUAUUUAUUUUAGCCGAUUAGAUCUGUUCCUAGUGUUGCUACUGUAGCGUUGUUUAGAUUACUCUAGCAGUUUUCUUUAUAAACGUUACCUGGUAAUCGGUUGCACUAUAGCCGAUUUCCUUAUUACGGCAAAUCGGCCGAUUCGCUGAUAAGCUUUCUUGAGAUCGGAACCUUAGCUGAUCGCAACCUCUGGGAACUGACACGUUUAUUUCCUUGCCAAUCAACAGUUCAGAUUGGCUGGCUCGCCGCGCGAACCGUACCAGGGCAAUCACCCGAACAGGAGUUAAGCAGAUUCUCCCGGGUCGUGUGUCCGACGCUGGGAAUUCGGUCAGCUGAUUUCUAGUGCCAACACACUUUUGGCACGCCUAGUGGGGCCAAUACAACCGCCACCAUGUCGAAAGCUGCUGAAGUCUCCGAAGAUAACAUCAUCGAAGUGACAGAGGCAGAUCUCAGGGACGACCAGAAGGAAGAACUAGAGAGGCAGACAGCAUACUACCGGAAGACAUGUCUGCAGUCCUUCAGUCGCACCAGGAGCGAGGAGACUAUCAAAAAGGCUCCGUUUCCAACUCCCCGCCAGAUCACAAUCACCGAGGAUUCGGACAAGAUGUCCGAGAUGGUCCAGCAAUCCGUCUAUCAAGCUUUCAUUGAUCAAUCCCCGGUGCUUUCUAAUACGGUAUACAAUGCCGUCAUCAGCUCCUUGGCUAGUGGUGUAUCUCAAGGGUACCAGGGGCCGGCAUAUGUUCCGCUGAUUAUGGCUCCGAGCAAUGCGGCGACAUGAAGAUCACUGGCGAUGCCCGUUCUUCAUCCACUGUUGGGAAAGCAACCUUAGGUUGCCUUCGGCCGAUAAUUGCCCCGAGUGCAACGGCCCGUAUCGUAACAAUCGGCCGUUCAGCAGGUCUCGCUCCAGAGAUGGGAGAUCAGAGCCGAUCAGCAGGAACUGGCGCGACCAAGACAACCGGCGCCCUCCAGUACGUGAUCGGCUGGGGGGCAGAAGUGACCGGUAUGACCGGUCGGAAGGCAGGCGCAAUGAUGGGCCGGGGGCAGAUUUAAUCGACGUGACCGGCCAGAAAAUAGAGUCAGCGUCCACAGACGACUUGAAUAGAUGGCCGAUGCUCGGGUGUUAGAUGAGAACCCUUUAGGACGCGAACUAGAAUGGGAACGCGCCAGGCCACGAACCAAACCGGUGAACCCCAGGUGGUGCCCCGAUGGAUUGACCAAGUCUCAAAAACGAAGAAUCCAACGUCUCCGCCAGUGGGAACAGCAGGAAGAAGAGCAACAGUACACGACGGACGAGAAGAAAGGCAGGUCUUAGGUAUGGCGCCCCAAAAGAAACGACAGAGGAGGCGACAAAUCAGCAGGCGAUGAAUCGGCAGCCGAUAUCGACAUGGUCUUCAUACUGCCGAUGGAAUUCAUGACUCCUGCCGACCAACAGGACAUGUCAGCAAUAGAAGAGUAGAUGGCGCAAUUGGCUUUGGAGCCAAUGACAGCCACAUUCGAGAAGCCCGAAGAAGACAAACGGCAACACCUGAAAGCGUUGUUUCUUAAAGGGCAUGUCAACGGCCGACCCAUCACCAGAUUACUGGUAGACAGAGGGGCUGCAGUCAACAUCAUGCCGUACGCCAUGUUCCGGAAGCUAGGGAAGAGCAAUGAUGACCUGACCAAGACAGACAUGAUGCUCAAGGACUUCGAGGGCAACGUAUCCCCCGCUCACGGCGCUCUCUGCGUCGACCUCACCAUCGGCAGUAAGACCCUUCCUACUACUUUCUUUAUUAUUAAUGGCAAGGGGUCCUACAACAUGCUACUCGGCCGAGACUGGAUACAUGCAAAUUGCUGUAUCCCAUCUACAAUGCAUCAAUGCCUCGUAUAGUGGGUCGGCGACAACAUUGAGGUGGUCACCGCCGAUUCCGCAUACAGCAUCGCGGCAGCCGACACGCAACAGUGGAGCUGCGAAACCGUCAAGUGCAUAUCCGGGAGAGUAUGGGAUACUGACUUCUUGAAGGUGUCCGAUUUUGGCCUACAGCCGAUCCGAGCAGUCGGCUCUGAGGACUCAGAUUAAAUGGAUCAGUUCACCCGAGAAGAUGGGAAGCUGGGACAUGGGUUCACGUCGGCCGAUUCAUUAGAAAUGAUAGACUUAGGCGAUGGCACCAUACCAAGGCCGACAUAUAUUAGUGCAAAUUUAGAUCCGGAAUACAAAUGUAAACUGACAAGUUUGUUAAGAGAACUUAAGGAUUGCUUUGCUUGGGAAUAUCAUGAGAUGCCCGGAUUAGACCGAUCUAUCGUUGAACAUCGGUUACCCAUAAAGCCAGGGUAUCGGCCGUAUCAACAGCCUGCACGGCGGUGCAAUCCUAAAAUCCUACCGGACAUAAAGGCCAAAAUAACGCGGCUAAUCAAAGCAAAAUUUAUUCGGCAAUGCCGUUAUGCCGAAUGGAUCUCCAACAUUGUACCAGUAUAUAAGAAGAACGGAAAGUUACGCGUAUGCGUCGAUUUCAGGAACCUCAAUCAGGCCACACCAAUGGACGGAUACCCCAUGCCGACGGCUGAUGUACUGAUAGAUGCCGCCGCGGGACACAAGGUUAUUAGUUUCAUGGAUGGAAACGCUGGGUACAAUCAGAUACUUAUGGCCGAAGAAGACAUAUCUAAAACGGCCUUCAGAUGCCCGGGUCACCUUGGUUUAUUCGAGUGGGUGGUAAUGACUUUCGGCUUGAAAAAUGUCGGCGCUACGUAUCAGAGAGUCAUGAACUACAUAUUCCACAAACUUAUCGGCAUACUAGUAGAAAUCUACAUCGACGACGUCGUAGUCAAGUCAAAAGGACACCAGGAGCAUCUGGCCGAUUUACGACAGGUGUUGGAAUGCACUAAGAAACAUGGGCUGAAGAUGAACCCGAAUAAGUGUGCCUUCGGCGUAUCCGCCGGACAAUUCUUAGGAUUCAUGGUGCACGAGCGGGGAAUAGAAAUCAAUCAGAAGACUAUAGCGGCCAUCAACAAAAUUGUGGCCCCGCAGAAUAAAACUGAGCUGCAAUCUCUAAUCGACAAGAUGAAUUUCAUCAGGAGGUUCAUAUCUAAUUUGUCUGGGCGAAUCCAAGCCUUCACACCAUUAUUAAAGUUGAAGCCCGACCAGGAGUUCGUAUGGGGGGAAGAGCAACGCAAGGCAUUGGAAGAUAUCAAGCAGUACUUGGUCUCACCACCGGUAUUGGUCCCUCCUCAAACUGGUAAGCCGUUUAAACUAUAUUUAUCAGCCGAUGAACGAGCUAUUGGGUCGGCUCUGGUCCAGGAGUUCGAGGGAAAGGAACGAGUAAUUUAUUAUGUCAGUAGAAGACUUCUGGACGCCGAAACAAGGUAUCCUCCAGUGGAGCGGUUGUGCCUAUGCCUUUACUUCUCAUGUACCAAACUCAGGCACUAUUUGCUAUCAGCGGAAUGUGUGGUCGUAUGCAAGGACGACGUGGUAAAAUACAUGCUGUCACUGCCGAUUUUGAAAGGAUGGAUCGAAAAAUGGAUCUUGGCUUUGUCGGAGUUUGACCUUCGAUAUGAAUCGGCAAAAGCCGUUAAGGGUCAGGUCAUGGCCGAUUUCGUUGCCCAGCACUGCGGGCCAGAGGCUACCUUCGUAGAACCAGUACCUUGGACCUUAUACUUUGAUGGAUCGUCAUGUGGGGCCGGAUCAGGAAUCGGCAUCGUCCUCAUAUCGCCUCGGGGGGCAAGCUAUGAUUUCUCUCUACCGAUAGAAGCAUCCACCACUAACAAUCAAGCAGAGUACUGAGCUGUACUGAAGGGAUUACAAUUGCUAAGGGAAGUCAAAGCUGAUUCCGUCGAAAUUUUUGGGGAUUCCAUGCUUAUCGUGGAUCAGUUAACAGGGAAAUCCGAGUGCAAGGACGAUGUAUUGAGGAUUUAUUACGAAGAUUGCCUCCUGCUUCUGAAAGAAUUCAAGUCGGCAGUUAUCGAGCACAUCCCAAGGAAUCACAACGAGGAUGCCAACAAGCUCGCCCAACACGCAUCUGGGUAUCGGCCGAUUCAAGGCGCCUUGGCUCUAGAGCUCGCGGCCAAUGACUGGCGAAAGGAGAUUGCCGAUUACCUGAAAGAUCCGUCUAAGAAAGUGGAUCGGCGGGUAUGUUUUCAUGCUACCAAAUAUGUGCUACUGGAAGACGACUUGUUCUACCGAACAAUUGAUGGCGUCCUACUCAAGUGUCUAGGAACGGAGGAGGCUAAGACUCUGAUGGGAGAAAUCCAUGAAGGAGUGUGUGGAGCCCACCAAUCGGCACAUAAGAUGAAAUGGAUGAUUAGGAAUAAUGGGUAUUACUGGCCGACGAUCCUCGAAGAUUGCUUCAAAUAUUAUAAAGGAUGUCAGGAUUGUCAGAAAUUCGGGAAUGUCCAACGUGCGCCCGCAUCGGCCAUGAAUCCCAUUAUCAAACCAUGGCCGUUCAGAGGUUGGGGGAUAGACCUCAUCGGCCAAAUUUAUCCUCCGUCAAGCAAAGGGCACAAGUUCAUUCUGGUGGCCACUGAUUAUUUCACCAAGUGGGUGGAGGCAAUUCCGUUAAGGGCCGUGACAUCGGCUGCUAUGGUUGACUUCGUAAGAGACCAUAUCGUCUACCGUUUCGGCAUCCCCCAGACUAUCACGACCGAUCAAGGGACAAUGUUUACAUCAGGAGAAUUCGAGGAGUUCACAGCCGACAUGGGAAUCAAAUUAUUAAACUCCUCUCCGUAUUAUGCCCAAGCUAAUGGCCAGGUCGAAUCUUCCAACAAGGGGAUAAUUAAGUUAAUCAAGAGGAAGAUAGAGGAGCAGCCGAAAAAGUGGCAUCUAUGUCUGACUGAAGCUCUAUGGGCAUACAGGAUGGCUUGCCAUGGGGCCACUAAGAUGUCCCCUUAUCAGUUGGUGUACGGUCACGAGGCAGUACUACCAUGGGAGUUGAGGGCAGGAUCGAGACGCACUUCGCUCCAGGACCAGUUAGCGGCCGACGACUACUCCUCACUCAUGAAAAGGGAACUUGAUGACUUGGCUGGCCAACGAUUGAGAGCUUUGAUAAGCAUCAAAGAAAACAAGAAGAAAGUGGCCAGGUGGUAUGAUAAGAAAGUCAAAGUCAAACAAUUCUCUCCGGGGGACCUGGUAUGGAAGUUAGUGUUGCCGAUCGGGUCGAAAGAUCCUAAAUUCGGUAAGUGGUCCCCUACGUGGGAAGAGCCGUAUAAAAUCGGCAGAUGUGCUCCAGGAAACGCUUAUAUUCUGGAAACAAUCGAAGGAGAGAAGAGUUUACUAGGGCUUUGAACGGAAGAUACUUGAAAAGGUACUACCCUAGUAUAUGGGUCGGAGCAUAAGGAUCGACCAUGAUGAACAACACACAGCCAAUACAAAAGGAUUCGUCUAGAGAAAAAAACGUAAUCGUCCAAAUCGGCCGAUGUAUUUCAUUCGGUACGGACGGUGGGUUACACGGCCGACAAGGUACAAGUUGCCCUUAGAACAAAAAAAAAUUAAUCACGCUUUUUCUUAAGCUCUCUCUCAGCCCGACCUAGUUCUAUCAGAAGACGGAUGUACUCUUCUUUUAUCUCUUUCAUCGAAGCCUCCGCUUCGACUUGACGGGGGAGAGGGUGACUCCGGUCCAUGGCCGGGCGUGAUGUUCCUACUGCUGCAUCUUCAAGGACGAUUUGAUGAGGAAGCGGAUGACUUCUGUCGGCUUGAGGUCGCCGGUGGUCGUUGCUGUCCAGAAAGUCCCAGAUCCAUCGGAUGUCGGCAGGGACGUGCUCUUGGAGUUCGUCGCGAUGAGCUCUGAUUAAAUCCUUAUCUUCUUGCGACAACGGUUCAUCGGAGUGUACAAGUCCGAUGGCUCGUUCGAGUUCGGGGCUAAGGCGCCGUGGCUGCGGAAAGCAACAAUAUACAUAUAGCUGCCGAAAAGGUGAUUCCCUUCAGAAGAGCUAAACUAAGAAAGAGAAUGAAGGCAAAUCUUUUACCUGAUUAACGGAGGAAGAGGUAGAGGAUGGAGAAGACAUGACUGAAAGGCGCACCGACGUGAACAGGUCGAGGAAGAUGAAGCCGAGUUAGAAAGGUACUCUCGGAACGGUCACCUAGGCCGGUGUUUAUAGGAAAGGAAGGCAUGGAUGUUUGGUAAGACGCGUCCCAUCGGGAGUGUGAAAGGUAAUAAAUAAGGGGGCGUCGCGAAGGACGGUCAAAGGGAUCAUUAAAUGUUCGUACAAGAACUGCCAGCACUUUUACAGGUCACCCAGAAGGGCAUCGAUAGCUGCGAUCGCUCGACGCCGGAUCUGAUCGGCAGAGUCCAGGACCCGUUGGUCAUCCUCUGCCGAUCCGGGGACUUCUAACAUAUGGCGGUGGAGUUUGAGGGCCUCGUGAGCCAGAUGCUGCCUCUCUCGUUUCAGAUCGGCAAUGACAGAAGGGAGUUCCUGAAGCCUCUUCUCUUCGGCGUCUAUUGCUUUGGUCACCUGCUCCAUCUCCUUGGCAAGCUCUGCCCUUCGGCGUUUGAGGCGAUCUAUCGUGCCGACGAUCCCCGGGCGAGAGUCUUCCAGAAAGUGAAUCCGUUGAUGCACCUCUUGAGCUUGACGCUUGUACGUGUCUUCUUCUUCACGAGUUUUGGUCAACUUGACGCGAUCGGCCAUGUGGCGCAGGGCCCUAAAGACUGGAAUCCUCAUUGACUCGAUAUAUGCAGCUGGCGCCAAGGCCUCUUCCGCUUCUUCUGGUACUCGCCCGCUGACGUCACCAAAAAGUUGUUGAAUCAGCGAAGCGUCUUCUACCAAUCGGCCGAUGUCCUCUUGAAGAAGGGAUCGGAUGCUUGCGAGUUUGGCACGGACGUCAUCAGGAACGGAGCUCAAAGUGACCUGGCGAGAGGCGACUUCCUCAUCAUCGGAGAGUGCGACCGCAAACGAGAAAAGGCUGUUGUUGGGGGUGUCCUGUUCCUGAAAAAUAGUGAGUCAAGAAGAAGAACAAAUCAGCCGAUGAUGAUAGCAAAUCGGCUGAGUAAGGGUGAGAAAUCUCUUACCUCCUUGAAACGGAUUUCUUCAAACUGCGUUUGGGAGGCUGUUAUCCUCGAUUCAGGGGCUGGUACCAUUGGUUCGUCAGAAGCUGAAGACUCCACCAUGAUUGGUGCUUUGCUCGGGCCAGCUUCCCGAAAGAUGACCAUUGGUUGGUUAGGUGGGGCGCUAAGCGUACCGGUGACCUGUGUCAAAAGAUUGAAUAAGAAUAUUAUCCAAAUACUAGAAAAAUCGGUUGAAGAGUAGUAUACCUCGGCAGACGGAAGCGUGGGCGUGUUGAUGACCGAUUGGGUUGCUGCCGAUUGUUGUGAGUCCACAGAAGUGAUUUGUGUAGUCUAAAAUAAGAUGAGUCAGUAUAGAGAUGGCAAUCGGUAGGAUCAAACAACAAGUUUACCUGCAUGGCCUCCACCAGUAAUGAUGCAGCGGCCGCCCCAGCUUGCGUGACGACUUGAGUAUCUACUUCUCCAGCAGCUGGAAGGGGCAAUGUGGCCGAAGUUUCUGCCGAUGUGAUCGUAGGAGGGUCGGCCGGUUCUGUACGAGCUCGCACUCGGCGACUGGUCUUCUUGGUAACCUUCUUCUGCGCCUGCUUCGAUCGGCCGGCAAUCACAUCCACGGAAGGGGCAUCGUAGCCGAUAAGGGGGAAGAUGGUGUAUAGGUGAUGGUCCUCUAUCGGCCGGCCACUCCGACUGUGUGUUGGGGGAACGCAGUUUUCAGACUGAAGCAACAGCAAGAUGUUAGUGUACAUAUUUAACCGCAUUAAUAAAGGAAUGAAAAUCAGUUAGGGAAAAAAAAUACCUCGGUGUUCGGAUCGAUGUUGGCUGGAUCCAGGAGGUUGCAGUAUGUCGAUGCGGAGGCACAGAAUAGGUACUGUUUUCAUUCGGCCCACCAUAGCUUGAAUGGUUGGACAACAAAGGGGGCUACUAUCCAGUCAUUCAAGUCUAUGGUACUGGAGUCUGGUAUCCGGUCUCGCAGCCGACUAUAGUCAAGACCCUUGGUGAGCUCAUCUCUGAACUUUGCUCGGCCGACGAAGUAUGCCUGAAUCGGCAGUUGACCCAUGCCGAAUUGCCGAGCUGCAACGGAGGGAUUGUAGAAUUCAUAUGUAGGGGCAUCCUUUCCUGAGAAGAAGUUGGCCGGUAAGAUCCCCGGUUUAAUUAGUUCAUCUGUGAGAUCUUCGUCGAAUCAGCCGGUGGUUGAGUCGAAGCAAGAAGGGAGUUCAAAGAUUGGGUCAUCUCUCCAAUAAGGAAACCAGACGGUUGCAUCUUCAUUGAAGCCGUUAUAAAAACACUGGAAGUAUUCGGCCACCUUGGUAGCAGAGUACGAGCAACCAGAGAAGGCCGAUGCCGCUUCGCCGAAAGACAUACACCGGCGUCGGACAGUGAGAUUCUCUGCCGAUUCGACGCUGGGGAAUGUCAUGUGUUCCACUCGCUGCUGAGAGAUCUCGCUCAUGUACAAGUUCAGCCAUAAGUUAAUGAACCACCAGGGUCCACCUGGGUUUCCAAUUGGCUACCCUUGGGAUAGCUUGAUGCCGAUUUGGUGAAGCAUGUGGUAGGCUGCUCCCAGUAAGUGCUUUCCAAGAGGAACAGAAGUCCCUAUUGAUAAUGCUUCGGCCAGAGCUUGGGUAUUGGUAGAUGGACCAGCUGCUCUCCCACAGAAGAAGUGCUUCUCUAGCCACAUCAUCAGGAAGGCCGUGUGCUCUCUGUUGUCGACAGAUCCGGCCCUUUUGUUGCAUCUGAUGAAACCUUUCCACCUGCCGAUUCCCCUUGUGUCCAGCCGAUGUGAUGUUGCGGUUAUAAGGCGGAAAGGGGUGUCCGGGGAAGAAAUAUCCAGGCCGGUCAGGAAGACUACAUCGGCCAAUGUGGGGGUCAUGGGUCCGUGUCCAAACAGGAAUGCGUUGAGAGCAUUGGACCAGAAGUAAGAAGCUGCCACCACUAAUGGCUCAUUCCGUUCCAUUUGGGACAAAGAUAGAUCGAUGCAUUGGCCAAUUUUGAGCUCGUCCCAUUGGACCUUCUUGGAAGCGGUUAUCCGCUGGUACCAUUCCCUCCAACUGGGAGUUUCGUUCGGCCAAGACCUAAAGGUACUCAACCAGUGAUCUAGGUCCAUAGUUGAUUGUUUGAAGGGGAUCCUAUGGGUUUUCCAAAUUGAUUAAGUCGGUUGGAUCUGGAUUUCCCAUGGGUCCAAGACAGAUAAGGCCGAGGUUUUCUGUGAGACGAAUGGUGAUGCGAUGCCUAACCGCCUAAAAAGGAAAAGGGGGUGCGAGGGUAAGAAAUAGAUCUAAAGUACAUGCAUUACUAAUAAGGGAAAGUUUCGGUAAUGACCUCCGGGAUGAAGCUCCUCGUAAUCGGCGGAGUCGCCGGUGCAGCUGCAGACGAUGAAGCUGCCAAUGGGAUCUCGGAUGAAGCUUCAACUUUCGCCAAUGGAGCUCCUUCUUCCGUCGAUGGAGCCGUCGUUAUCGCUACUGGAACCUCCGCCGAAGGCACCAUUUCUGGAGCUUCGCGCAUUGGUGAGGUGCCUGAAGGUGCCGCCAUUGGAAAAGUAGGAGGCAAUGCGAAAGGAAGGAGGCGCUGGAGAAUUGGUGGACUAAGGAAAGUGUUGGAGGAAGAAGAAAGCCUGUGCACUGAAGAAGAUGGACAUGAGCUCGUAAGGAGUACGGGAUGUGCUGAUAUUUAAAGAACGUCUGAGAAGGGGUAAAAGUGGAAUUUUUACCGCGCUGGCGUUUUGAGUUUUUCGGGAGUAGUGGUUGUCGUGGGCACCCGUUUCGAAAAGAUUGCAAUCAUCAGGUUGGAGACCGCGAAAUGGAAGGAUGUUUUCAUUGCGUCUGUUUCGGAUGAGAAGUUGAAAAGAAUUUUGAAGUAAAGACUAUGUUUUACUCCGAAACUGGGAGGCAUGUGUUGACGCCAGAUUUUGACACGAGUAAAAUCGGCGUUAGAAAUGGAAUAAAUUAGGAGAUGCGGCGAGAUACAAGGGCGACGAUUGGAAAUCGGCCGAUUGGUGCUACAGUCAAGGAUCGGUUGGUUGGUGCUGCAGUCAAGGAUCGGCCAAUUGAUGCUACAGAUGAGGAUCGACCGAUUGAUCCUUGGAGUUCCGCCUCGCCCAACCCCUGGUUUGGGAUCGGACGCGCCCGACCCUCCAAGGGAGGAUCUCCGCCUCGCCCGACCCCUGGUUUGGGAUCGGACGCGCCCGACCCUCCAAGGGAGGAUCUCCGCCUCGCCCGACCCCUGAGGUUUGGGAUCGGACGCGCCCGACCCUCCAAAGGAGGAUCUCCGCCUCGUCCGACCUUAGUUCCCAGGGUCGAAAUGAGUCUGAGCCCUCGAUAUGUGGGUCCUGAUCGGUUACCCCCUUGCCAAAGAGGUGAUCGGCCGAUUAGGAGGUUGGAAUAGUUGGGCCGAUGUGGGCUCAAGAAGGAUUAUGAAGAUGAAGAGGGGGUCAGCCCAUGAAGCGCGUGAAAAUAGUACGAAUCGUACUUGUAAAUAUUCGUUUUCUGUUUAAAUUUAGGGAUAGAGUUCUAGUCGGAUAAGAAGUCGUUCGUACGGGGCUAUAAAUAGCCACCGUUGUAGAUCUGUAAUCAUCAUCAACUCAAUACAACAAACUACUAUUUCCUCGUACUUACUUUCAAGCAGGCGACUUUACCAACACUUUUUCUCCUUUUUCACGAGUUCAUACGGGUUGGCGGGGCUGCAUCAACUUGACCUCCGGCCGAUCUUGUAAGUUCCGUUUAUCGACUAAAUUCUAAGCUUUAACUUCGGGCGCAUCGCUGUCGUUUCGUUUAGAUUUAUUCAUCAGUUAUCGAUAUUUACUAGAAUUCUAGGUUUUACCUGUUGUUCUAGUUUUAUCACCAAUUAUCCAGCUAGGAAUCGGUAAAUUCGGCUUUCUUUAUACUUCUCUGUCUAAUCUAUUUAUUUUAGCCGAUUAGAUCUGUUCCUAGUGUUGCUACUGUAGCGUUGUUUAGAUUACUCUAGCAGUUUUCUUUAUAAACGUUACCUGGUAAUCGGUUGCACUAUAGCCGAUUUCCUUAUUACGGCAAAUCGGCCGAUUCGCUGAUAAGCUUUCUUGAGACCGGAACCUUAGCCGAUCGCAACCUCUGGGAACUGACAUGUUUAUUUCCUUGCCAAUCAACAGGUCAGAUUGGCUGGCACGCCGCGCGAACCGCACCAGGGCAAUCACCCGAACAGGAGUUAAGCAGAUUCUCCCGGGUCGUGUGUCCGACGCUGGAAAUUCGGUCAGCUGAUUUCUAGCGCCAACAGGCUCAUUUAUGUCGCCUGACACGCGAAUAUGCACUUUAACCAAGUCAACCUGGUCGACCGUCGGAUUUCAUCCGAUGAACCACUUACACAGGAUCAAGAAGCAUCGCUCAAACGAAGGUGAGUAGCACAGAGGUUACAACAUUCCAUUAUGACAACUUAGUUCCACAAUUUAUUACAUCAGAGUUUCAGAAAUUCAAACAAGUUGCAAGGUUCGAAAAGUCGGAUAAAACAAGCGAAAACUAAACGUCGAUACAGGAUAUCAUGACGAAGUUGAUCAUGACAUCAAAAAUCCCUACCCUCACCGUCCGAGGAGGGAUCCCACUCGAUUGUCCAGCCCGGAGGGAGCUGGGUAGGCCAAGUGGUGCCAGCAACCAAACUAUUGACAUGACCUGAAAAGAUUAAGCCAUAACAAGGCUGAGCAACUAAUACUCAGCAAGACUGACCCGUCGAGUGAAAAGCUUUACCAAGACCUAGACAUGCAAGGCUUUCUGGCUCUGGGAUUACUUUGCCAAAAGCAUCUACAGUCGGUCCUUACUUUCAAUAUUUUAGCUUAAGUUCUACGUUCUUUAACCAGUCUAGAUUAGCAACUUAUACUAAACAAGCAUAAUUUCCAAGUAGUUAAAUAACAAGCAUCAACUUAAUCUCAUAAUCAUGUUUCAUCGUUACUCAGUGCAGAAUAGCGAUCAAGUAGUCCCAAACUGUGAGAGACAGAUGAAUCGAUUCGAAUUUAUUAACCAUGCAUGGCGAACCUAAUCUCACGACAUCCGCGCACCACGAAGGGUCGCUUCAUUUGUCAGCCGUCCCCAUCGAUCCCUUAGGCACGUGUCAGGGCCAAACUGCCUUUGGCGUGCAAUGCUCCACAGUCCCGACCUCUGUCGUACUGUGACCGCCACUGCACCCACAUGAUGCACCAUGGGAACGACGUUCCAAGGACAGCAGGAGUAUAAGCCACGUCCCAGUUCAGUCAGGUACUAGGCUUCCCCAUCCCAGACUAGGUAUGAGAUUAGUACUUUCAAACACUUGAUCACGAACGCUGACACGUUUCAACCUUAGAUCAAUUUCCUUUAGACAGACGGGGAAAACCACCAAGUAUCGAACAUAAGCCCGACCCCGUCCGUCAUCCUUAUAGUUGCAACAUAAAUAAACAUUCAACUCCUAUAACUCGCGAGUGAUAGGAAAUCACUCGACUUUUACUGAAACCUAAUAAGCAUUGCAACUACUCGACUUUAGCAACUAGUAUUCAAACAAGGUACUAAGUUCAUGCAUCUACGGUUUCAAUCAACUCCUACACACGUAAAUGCGCAAACAUAAACAUCAACAUGUUGCAUAAAGUAAAACAGGGAAGUCAUGCACCGGGGCUUGCCGUCAGGAAGAGUUAGCGGGUCCUCGGGGUCUUGAUCCGGCUCAGGCUCGCCUUCCAAGUGGUGAAGCUCCGCAGCGGGGUCUUCCUCCGGUGUCGGGUGGAGCUCGUAGGUUCCAUCGGCGAGAUUUGCUUCUAUACGACAUGCAUAUGCAAAAGUUUAGUUGGACUCACGCGUUUAUUCAACGACACAAGGCUUGGCUUAAGACAAGGAGUUGCAACAGCCACAUUCACUUUGACGAGGUUCAACUUUCAUGCAACUUCAAACGAAUGUGGUCGGUUUAAACUUGAGUUCGAGUUGAAUGGCGAUUGUGUACAUAUAUAGUUUUCUUACACUUAGAGUUGCAUAAAGAGAAUGAAAGGUCGUGUUUGGGUGGUUUGGGUGCAUUAGGAUAGUUACUUACUUCUGAAUGUUUUUAUGUACCUCUUUCAAUUUCCACUUAUUUAUCGUAUUAGAAUUUGUGCUUUCCUUUUAUUCCUUUAGGUUGAUUAAUUAACCAAAAUGACUUCAUAUCCAAACAGCAGCUAAAGGCACUGAUAAAAUUACAACACCUCACUUAAGCCAUAGCUGGGUUACUCUAAAAUUUUGGGGGCCAUUGGAUGACUUAAAAAGGAAUUACAUGCAUUUUAUUAUUAAAGGUAAAAUGAGCUUAACUUUUUCUAUCUUCAAAGUUACUAUGCAACAGAGGGUGAAACUUAACCAGUGUGUUAAGGGUAUGUUACAGGAUCUUUGGCGAAUUUUUCAUAAUUUUUGAAGAAGGUUAACUAUUUACUCUAUUUCCUUUUUAAUUAAACAUGCUUAGCAAGGAAGGUGUUUUUUCUUUCCGAAUUGCACAACAAUUUACAUUUUUCCUGCAAACUUCACAGCAAAACAAAAUUAACCCAACUAGUUUCACAUUUUUUUGAGCUCUGGAUCAAAACGUAUGCAAAAAGGAAGAAUUAAUCUUAGAUUCCCAAAUUAAAGUCAAAACAAUGACUUAAAGUGCUAGACCAGAGCCCUAACCAUUUUUCUGAGCUUCUACACAUAGAAACAAGCAUCACAGAGUUGGUUUUACAUUUUUCCCACUUUUCUUCUAUUUAAUAGGAUUAAAAAGGCCUAAACCAUGAUUAAAAGCAUAUGAUAUUAUUUACAACAGUAACAUGAGCAAACUUAUUUUUCUUAGGAACUAGAUAGAGCAAGGAUUCCAACAAAAGUGGUUUGGUAUUUUUAUGAUUUUUCUACGAUUUACUGGGCAUUUACAAAGUUCAACCAUAUUUCUACCUAUUAUUUAAAAGAAAAGCCGUGGCAAACUUGCAGGUUAGCCCCUGGGUCUAUGGGUUAACUACGCAGAGGUCCCUGAGUUUUGCGCCCAGGCCCCUGGAAAGAAUGGGGAUGAUGCAAUGUAGUCCCCAGGGCGCGCGCGGCGGCGGCGAGGAAAUCCCCGGCGGUUCGUCGGCGGGGAUGGGGCAACAAGUGGUCGGAGGGGUGCGGGGGCUCACCUGAGCUCGGUUUGGUGGGGUUGGGGCGACGGAGAUGGUCGGUAGGGAUCAAAACACGGCGGCGGCGACAGAGCUUGGCUGGUGGCGGUGCAGGCGUCGUUCCGGCGCACUGGCGGCGUCGGGGAGGCCACGGGCUGCUCGGAGACGUGCGCGGAGGGGGGGCGAAGUGGGCGGCGAAGUUGCCGGAGUACGGGGUGGCGCGGAGGGGUGAGCUCCACGGGAGCUUAGCGGCGGCGCUGAGAAGGAAGCAGAGGCGUGGUUGCGAGCGGUGGCAAAGGGUGGCAUUGCCGGUGAGGGGGACCCUUUUAUAGGGCAGCGGUGGAGCGGAGGGUCGAGGUGGGGCUCCGGUGGAGGAAGGAUAAGGCCGGGAGCGGUGCGUGCGCGAGCGAGGCGGCCAUUGGCCAGCGGUGCCAUUGGGCAGGGGAGGCGGAGCUCCGGGUGGUCUCUGGCCGCGAUUGGCCUCGAGCGAUGCGUGUCUGAGGCCUCCGGUCUGUCGGCGGGCGAAGCGGAGGGCCACCGCGGGGGUUGGGCGAGCGGGCGGAGGCGCGGGACGUCGUUGGCGUGGUGGCUUCUCCAGCGGGUGGGCGAAGCGCGGUUGGGCAGAGCAGAGCCGCGGCAGAGGGAAGGGCACGCGCGCGGCCGACGGUUGGCCAGCCCGGCGUUCGCCCCGUCUUGUCGCAGGCGCGGGUUGGGCGCCGUGGCUCUCACCUUAUCGUUGUCUCGCCGGGGAUAGGGCGCCGGUGAGCUGCCGGUGGCCAGCGGCCACGAGGCACGCGGUGCGCGGGCGAACAUGCCCUGGCGCGCGGGCGUUGAGGCCCCUUCGGGCAGUAAGCCCGACCAGCUUUGAGAGAUCCUAUCUCAAGAUUUUGCAACACAACUUCCAAAACUCUUCUAAACAAACUUGUUCAACUCUGGACGUAGUUCAAACUUGGUUUAAGGUGCUGGUUUAGAUUGUGAAAGGAUUUGGAGAUAUCUCAUGCCAAAGUUUGCCAAAAAUAUGGAAAUCCAGACUUAGCCAAUUUUGGCCGGAGAGGUGGAAUUUCAGGAACUUAGCUAUGUUUGAGUCAACUUUAGGGCAGCUUCCAAGUUGAAUUAGACAGAAGUGUUAAUAGAGGAGUUGCUCUCCAAACUGAGGACUUCAACUUCUAUUUAGGGUAUUUCUGGAGUUUAGUUCAGAAAUUUGGAGGAACGCCCUCGCCAAGAGGUGCACUCUGAGCAGUUUUCCAGACUUAGCGUUGUGGUGCUCAGGGGCUGAGUUGACUGCUUUGCUCAACUUUGACCAAGAUUUUGAACAGGUUCUGGUUCGAUUUGGACCUGGGUCAUUGUAACAAACUUGGAAAACACUUGAGGUAUUACAACCUUUAUUAAGAGCCUGACUUGAGUUUAGAUAUGAAAUCGUGAGAUAAAGGCUUGCAAAGUUGGAGGAAAACUUGAAUUCCACGACUUGGAGGUUUAUAGGGUUCUUUAUUAUUCCGGUUUUGAUUCCUGUUUUUGACUUCCUCCCACUCCGAAUUAGCCAAAGUGACUUUAACAAAUAUUGUUUGAAAUUAAAAGUGUUACAACUCUUAUUUGGGCAAAAUUUUAAGUUUGUAUAUAAAAUCUCAAGUUUUAUUUUAAACUCCAUAAAGAGCUUCUUAGGGUUAAAAUGGUCAUUUCACUUCCUUUACUUAGUGAUUAACCACUGGUUUAUAUUUAAAGCACUUAAUUUAGGUAGAGUUGUUACAAGUAUCCACUCACUACUUUACCAAAUGGGUGCAGGCAGUCCCUCUGAAGACCGUGACGUUGGCCGUCAUGAUUGAAUUCAUAAGCGAGCACAUUAUCUAUUGGUUUGGUAUUCCUCAGACUGUUACGACCGAUCAGAGAACAAUGUUUACUUCAGGAGAGUUUGAGGAGUUCACUUCCGAUAUGGAAAUUAAGUUGUUAAAUUCUUCUCCAUAUUACGUUCAAGCUAAUGGUCAGACCGAAUCGUCCAAUAAAGGGAUAAUCAAGUGUAUCAAGAGGAAGGUAGAGGAGCAACCAAAGAGAUGGCACAUGACUUUAAGCGAGUCUUUGUGGGCCUACAGGAUGGCCUGCCACGGCGCUACUAAGGUGUCUCCUUAUCAAUUAGUGUAUGGAUAUGAGGCGGUGCUCCCUUAGGAAUUGAGGAUGGGGUCUAGACGCACGUCGAUUCAAGAUUAGUUGACAGCCGACGAUUAUUCUCUCCUUAUGAAAGGGGAGCUUGAGGAUUUGGUGGGUCAACGAUUGAGGGCCUUGAUCAGUAUUGAAGAGAAUAAGAAAAGACUUGCCAAGUGGUAUGACAAGAAGGUCAAGGUCAAGCAGUUCUCGCAAGGGGAUUUGGUAUGGAAAUUGGUAUUGCCGAUAGGGUCUAACCAUCCCAAAUACGGCUAGUGGUCGCCUACUUGGGAAGGGUCGUAUAAAUCGAUCGAUAUGUGCCAGGAAAUGCAUACGUAUUAGAGACCAUCGAGGGAGAGGAAUUUACAAGAGCCUUAAAUGGGAGAUAUUUGAAAAGAUACUAUCCCAGCAUAUGAGUGGACGCGUAGCCGAUGAUAUAGUGUAUCGAGUCGUUAUGGCCGAUUCCUAUUGACUCGUGUUUAUAUAGCCGAUGCAGGGAGGCAUCGCCUUGAGGACGAAACCUCUAAUCAAAUUGGCCGAUUAUUAUUCGGUACGGUGAUUGGAUACAUGGCCAACAUGGUACAAGUCGCCCUUAGACCAAAAGUACCAAUACAUCUAUCGGGUUACAAUAUGAUUAACUGCAUUUCAACUGGGCUUUGUUUUUAUUGAUCUCUCUUUGGACCCGGCCUAGUUCUAUUAAGAGACGGGUGCUCUUUUCCUCCCUAUCCGCCAUGGCAUCUUUGAGAGCGACCUGGCAGGGUAGCUGAUGACUCCUCUCAAUUGGCGGCUGAGGUGGCUCCCUGGAGCUGUUGGCUUCGAUGUGAUCCACGAUCUUCUUAAUGUGGGUCGGAAGAUGGUCUUUAAGCUCCUCACGGUGGGCUUUGAUCAGGUCUUGGUCCACCUGCAUCAGUGGUUCCUCAGAGUGCAUAAUUUCGAUAACUCGCUCAAGAUCAGGGCUGAGCCGGGUCGGCUGGACAAACAGCGGGCAAUCAGUUGUCGAAAAGAAUUGGUCAAGGAGCGCAAGGCUGAUCUCAUACCUCAUUGACGGGGGAAGAAGAAGACAUCUUGGCGCCCGGUUAGGGAUCUGAAAAUGGUCGAGCAGAGUGUAGAAGGAUGGAUGAGAUACGAGUGCCUCUGGGAGGAAUGUAGGGACCCCAUAUUUAUAGGAGAAAAGGUAAGGGGCAACGGUUGGCAAAGGCAUCUAUUCAAAGCAGAUGAAUGUUGAGCUAAAAGCUGCGAAGAGGAAACGUUCAAGUCCGUAUUCACACAAUGAUGGCAAAAGGGGCAUUAAAUGUUUGUGCAGAGGUGUUCAAAAGAUAAUUCAAUGUUUUGAUACAUUCAUUCAAGAAGAAUAUUAAUGGCCGCGAUUGCCUACUGGCGGAUCUGAUCCGCUGAAUCUAGAACUCGUUGGACAUCUUCGGCUGAUCCAAGAAUUUCUAGCAUGUUGCGAUGAAGCCGGAUGGCCUCAUGCGCAAGGGUUUGCCUCUCCUGCUUCAGAUCAGCGAUGACGGUCGUGAGAUCAUGAAGAUUAUUCUUUUUGGCGGUUAUAGCCUUUGUCACCUACUCCAUCUCCUUGGCAAUCUCUGCCCUAUGCUAUUUGAGACGGUCUAUUGUGCCGACGAUGUCUGGGCGAGAAUUUUCGAGUACGCCGAUUCGGUGAUGUACCUCUUGAGCUCGGUGUUUGUAGGAAUCCUUCUCUUCACAUGGCUUUGCCAGCUUGGCAUGAACGGCCAUGUGCCGCAGGGCUCUGAACACCGGGAUUUGCAUUGACUCGAUGUAUGUAGGAGGUGCAAGAGCUUUUUCUACAUCCUUCAGGACUCGGCCUUUUAUUUCGCUGAAGAUUUGCCAAAUCGGCGAAGCGUCUUCCACCAAUCGGCCGAUGUCAUCUUGAAGAAGUGCUCGGAUUCUCUGGAGCUUUGCACGUACUUCUUCCGAAAUUGAACCUGGAGCCACUUGUCGAGAGGCUACCUCUUCAUCAUCAGAAACAGCGAUCGCAAAUGAAAAGAGGCUGUUAUUGGGCGUAUCUUGUUCCUAUAAAAGUAAGAGAGGAAGGAACGGAUUAGCCGACAGUAGUGGGAAAUCGGUCGGAUUGGAUGUCGAAGGCCCUUACCUGUUUAAAAUGAAUUUUCUUCUGUUUGUGUUUGGGGGAUUGCUACCCUUGUCUCAGGAAUCAGCAUGGUUGGCUCGUCAGAAGAAGAAGACUCGACGGUGAUCGACGUUGUGUUUGGACCGGCUUCCUGAAAGUAACAAAAGGAGAGUCUCUAUAAGUAUGAAGCAAUAGUUAGAUCUAAGGAUGAGUACCAGUUACUUUACCUCUGUGAGUCGUCCGGCCGAUGACUGUUGGAAAGGUAUGAUUGAUGUACCCAGAGUGGCCUACAUUAGAAAUCGGUCAUUUUUGACUAAGGAAUAAGAGACUUGAGUAAGAUGUAUGUUCUUUACCUCAGCUGCAAGGAUUGCUGGUGGUUCGGUCUCUGCUUGGGAUGCGACCGAUUGCUGUGAGGUUUGCUCCGAAAGAAUUUGCGCAGCCUAACAAAAAGUGGAAAUUAAUACUGAUAGUAUACUUGGAGAAAUGUGAAGCAUAUAAAGUUACCUGAACAUCUUUUACCAAUAAGGAUGCAGCUGCUGAUCCGGCUUCCGUAGCGGCUUGGGGGUCGACCUCCUGGGCGAUCGGCAGAGUUGGUGUGGCUGAAGACUCGGCUGGUGGCACCGCCGAUUGAUCGGCCGGUUCUAUACGGGCGCGCACCCGGCGGCUUGUCUUCUUUGAAGAGGAUAUCUUCAUCUUCUGCUUCAAUCGGCCUGUGAUGAUAUCUUCGAUUGACGGGGACUGAAAGCCGAUGAUUGGAAAUGAAGUAUAUGGGUGGCGAUUCUCUAUCGGCCUGCCACUACAGUUGUGCGUUGGAGAGAGUUGGCUUUCAGACGACAAGAAAUGAGGGAAAUCAGUGGUAAUACUGUAAGAGUACGGUGUCAAAUCGGCCAGAAGGAUUGGUACCUCUGCAUUCGGAUCAAUGUUAGCGGGGUCCAGAUCAUUACAAUAUGUUGUAGGAGAUGUGCAGAAGAGGUGUUGUUUCCACUCACCCCACCAUAGCUUGAAUUGUUGGACAGCGAAGGGGGCCACAACCCAGUUGGCCAAUUCGAUGGUACUGGAAUCCGGCGUCAAGCUGCACAGCUGAUUGUAUUCAAGACCUUUAGAGAGCUCCUCCCGACACUUAACGCGGCCGGCAAAAUAAAUCUUAAUCGGCAUUUGUCUGAGGCCGAAUUGCCGCGCUGCCACUGAUGGGUUGUAGAAUUCAUAGGUUGGGGAGUCUUUUCCUGAGAAGAAGUUUGCUGGUAGGAUCCCAGGCUUGAUCAAAGUAUCCAUAAGCUCAUUAUCGAAGUAAUUGAUGGUUGAAUUGAAGCAGUCGGGGUUUUCAAAGAGUGGCUCAAUUCUCUGAUAUGGGUACCAGCUUGUAGUUUCUUCAUUGAAGCCGAUAUAGAAGCAUCUGAAAUACUCAGUUGUAUUUGUGGGGGUAAACUUGCUGCCAGGAGAAGCUGACGCUACCUCGCCAAGGAAGUGCAACGCCGUCUUAAUGUUGGGUUAUCCUCUGAUUCAAUAUUGGGGAAUGUCUUGGUCUCAACUCGUUCCCUGGAGAUCUUGCUCAUGUAUAAGUUGAGCCAGAUGGUGAUAAACCACCAGGGGCCACCAGAGUUCCCAAUCGGCUCUCCGGAUGACAGCUUGACUGCGAUUUGGUGCAUCAUAUGAUGAGCCAAUCCUAGCAGGUGUUUUCCUAAGGGGAUAGUAGAACCUUUUGCUAGGGCCUCGACCAGAGCCUGUGUAUUGGAGGAGGGGCCAACUGCUUUGCCACAGAAGAAGUGCUUCUCUAACCACAUCAUCAGGAAAGCUGUGUAUUCUCUAUCGCCGAUAGGACCGGUCUUCAUAUUUUUAUCAAUAUAGCAUUUCCACCUGCCGAUUCCCUUUGUUUCCAGGCGAUGGGUUGGUUUGAUCAGGAAAUUGAAGGGCAAGUCGGGGGAAGAGAUGUCAAGACCGGUCAGCAUCAGGACGUCGGCCAAAGUAGGGGUCAUGGGCCCAUGUCCAAAAAGGAAAACAUUGAGAGCGUCAGACCAGAAAUAAGAAGCUGCCAUGACCAAAGGUUCAUUCUUCUCCAUUUGAGACAGAUAUAAGUUUAUGCAUUGGCCGAUUUUUAGUUCAUCCCAAAGAACCCUCUAAGAAUUGGACAUCCUUUGAAACCACUCUUUCCAGCCAAGGGUUUCGUUCGGCCAAGAUCUAAAUGCACCUGUCCACUGGCUUAAAUCCAUUGGUGACUGCUUGAAAGGGAUCAUGUGGGUUUCCAGGUUGAUCAAUUCAGUGGGAUCUAGAUUCCCCAUGGGGCUAAGACCGACGAGGCCGGGUGCGUCAGAAACAGGGAUGGUGAUUUGCUGCCUAAGUUCCUAAAAAGGAUACAAAAGGAGAACUAAGAACAGAUCUAAAAGAUGCGUGAAUGGUGAAAAGUAAAAGUAAAAACUUUGGGAUAUUUACCUCUGGAAUGAAAGCCAUAGUCGCCUAUGGAGCCGCUAUUGGAGUAAACAGAAUAGGAUGGACGGAAGAUGAAGGAGGAAUCACCGUAGGAAUGCAGUUGGAAGAUGAAAGGGUGCCGAAAUGCGAUGGAAGAUGAUUCGCCGGGGAAAAAAGAGUUUCCCAGCUUGUGGAGAAGAAGCGGCGGAGAAUGCAAAUAUUUAAAGAUGGUUCGAGAGAAGGGUAAAGGUGGGAUUUUACCGCGCUGUCUGCACAAAUUUCGGGAAGAGCGGUUGCCUGCGAGCGCCUAGCUCGAAAAUUGUGAUCAUCAGAGAGAAGACCGCAGAACAGAAAGGAGCUUUCGCCGUGCCCGCCUCGGAGGAUGAGUUAGAGUUGAAAAAAAUUUGAAGCAAAAAGUUUCACUCUGAAACUUGGGGGCAUGUGUUGACGCCGGAUUUUGACACGUACUUGAAAUCGGCGUCAAAGAAGGAGAAAGGGGGGCCGAUGCGGCGGACUAGAAGCUACAGUUGGGAAUCGGCCGAUUGAAGCUACAGUGUUUCAGCCGAUUGGUGGAAGAAAUCGGUGGAGGCUGGCCGAUUGAGAGCCAAAGCAGUUUGGCCGGUUUGGGCCUAAGGUGGACCAGGAUGAAGAUUUGCUGAAGAGACAGGCCCGUGGGAAAAUAAUAACCAACUCGAAUAUGAGUCGUGUUUGUAACUAUUUGUUGUCGUUUGAAAUUAGAGAUAGAUUCUAGUCGGUUAUGAAAUCAGUUGCAACAGGCAAUAAUAGCUGCCUCGAGAGGCUUGUAAAAAAAUAACACACAAUCAAUAAAACAAAUUUACUCUUUCCUCGUACUUUACUUUCAAGUCGGCGACUUCGCCAAAACCUUUUUCUUUCACGAGUUCGUACGGAUUGGCAGGGCUGCAUCUACAUGAUCUCCGACCGAUUCUGUAAGUUCCGCUUAUCGAGUAAUAUCUAAGCUUUAACUUCGGGCGCAUCGCUGUUGUUUCAUUUAGAUUUAUUCACUAGUUAUCGAUAUCAACUACAGUCAUAGGUUUUACCUGUUAUUUUAGUUUUUAUCACCAAUUAUCCAGCUUGAGGUACGAGCUAUCGGCUUCUAUUAUUUUUAUCCUUUAUCAUCACAUAGCUGAUUAGAUCUACUCCAAGUGUUGCUUUUGUAGUGUUGUUUAGGUUGCUCUAGAAGUUUUCCUUACGAUUGCUACGUGAGUAUCGGCUGUCUUAUAGCCGGUCAUCUCUAUAGUAAAUCGGCCGAUUCGCUAAUACGCUCUUCAAGACAGAUCGGAACUCUAGCCGAUCGAAACCCCUAAAAUUUAAUAUUCUUCUUUCCUUUGUCAAUCAACAGGUCAGAUUGACUGGCACGCCGCGCGAACCGCACCAGGGCAAUAACCUGAACAGGAGCUAAGCAGAUUCUCCCGGGUCGUGUGUCCGACGCUGAGGGUCAUCGGCCAAUUUUCAGGGCCAACAACAGCUUUUGGGCAAAAGCAUAUAGGACUUUUAGGGGGUGUUUGGCAUGGCUCUAGAGCUGAACUCCGGUAACUCCAGCCAAUUUUCCAGCCAAACACCCUAGCUCCAAAACUCCAUGGAGCUGCAGUGCAAAUGGGAUGGAGUUUUGGCGCACCUCUUUUGUAGCUCCAAAACCACCUAAUAUGAACCUCCUCGUGGAGUUGGUGGGUAAUUAACCAUCAAUGCCACUGAUUAAAAUAAAAAUGAUUCACUUCUAUUUUCUCUCGAGACCCCUCCCCGCGCCGCCCGAGGCCUCCUGAUGCCGCUCUCCUGCGCCGCCGCCUAGCGCCGCCGACAGCUGCUGUCGCCGUCCGUGCCCCGCGUCCUGCGGGCUACCGCCUCGCCAUCCCCAUGAGCCCCCUGCACCGCCGUCAGAGCCGCCAGCCGAGCCGCUGCGGCCGGGUUUCCGCCGUCUUGCCGCCUCUUUCCUCAACUGGAGUGAGCCAUCAGCAGCAGCAGAUUCCCCUCGGCGAGCCACGCCCGUUUCGCCGGUUCCGUUGUCACCCUGCUGCCGGAGUGCCGCCGCCACCGUGAAAACCGCCCGCCCCCCGAUCUCCACCACCACGCUGACCACCUCCGUCCAUGCCCUCCGCCGGUGAGCACACCCGUAGAUUCCCCUCGACCCCCUCUUCCUCUUGCGCCACCUGCCCAAAACACCACCUCGCCGGAGCGCCAGCAAGCUAGCUGGCCAGAGCCCCGGUGAGAGGAGGAAGAAGGAACCUGGCUCUUUUGUGAUUGGGUCCUUGAGGAAAGCUAAAAUCUUUUGCUCUGUUCCUUGCUCCCGGCGAGAGGAGGAAGAAUAGUGGGCUUCUGUGGUGGAGGGCGAGAUCGAACCAGGAGUCAGAAUGUCAAUCUACCCUCAAACUCCUCUUUUCUGGAGUUGGGAACACCCUCCCAACCAAACACCUUCAUCAGACAGCAGGUUGAAAAGAGGCACAUGAGGCUCAGCCGCUUAGGCCCACGGGCAAAAAAAAAAAACUCUUACUUUAUGGCGGAGUAGUUGCUGUUCCAGUGUGCAGGUAAAUUGUCGCAAAUGCCCUCUUGUGGUCGCGUUGCAGUAGCCGAUAAGGCGUCCAAACGUGAGGUGCACACACCUGAUCUGAUCCUCUCAGUGGAAACGGGCCAGGUCCAUGCAACCCAGGACAGGAAGGCUCUAUACCUGGGCCGAACGGUAGCCCAAGAGGCCGACAGUAAGUGAGCUCACGGGUGACGAACGGCCCAGAAGCCGCCCCAAUCCGGCCACCGCCACUGAGCCGGCUCGACUAAACCGGAUCGCCACGCAGCCCGACCGCGCAGGCGUACUUCCCGAACUACCCCCGGAGAUUAUCCAAUCGGACGGCCAAGCGCCACGCACUGCCAAAGAAUUCCCCGAAAUGACCCUACUCUUCCCUUUGCCUCCCUCGCGUGCCGCCGGUUCUGCUCGACCGGACCAGCGGUUCAGGCGCCGAAUAUUCGCCCGCGGAUAUUUCUUGCCCGGUGCGUCAACUCCGCCGCUAUAAAUACCCUCAUAGGGCGGCCGCUAGGGUUUUAGUGCUUCUCUCCCGGCGGCGCCUCCACAUAUCGUCUCUCAGAUCGGGAGGCGAAACCAAGGUGACUGACCUCAUCCCCUUUCUCCUCCCUCCGUCUCUGGUUGCUAUAGCUAUUUCAUCCAUGCGCUGUCCUUAUAGCUGAUUAGUAUUUUUACUAGUGGAGUUCGAGUCGUUUUGGUUCCAUUCAGUAGUGCUUGUGUUGAUUGGAUUGAAUCGGAGGACUCGAAGUGGUUUGUGCUGCUCGAAUCGUAAGUUUGUUGGGCUAAUCUCGAUGGAAUUUAUGUCAAUUCGUUGGUUUAGUGGUCCUUGGCAGUUCUCUCUGUGAUAGGCCCGUCCGAUCUGUAGAGAUGCGGUGGAAUCCUGGUUUACUCAAAACGGUUCUAGAUUCCUCUGUUCUUCCCUUAUUUUUUGUUUCGAUUACUUAGUUUGCACGUUAGGGGCCUAUGAAGUUUAUGUGCUCGGAUCCUUUAGUGAAACUGAUCUGUUUACUCAGAUGUGCUCGGAUCCUUCAGUGAAACUGAUCUGUUUACUCAGAUCUGCUGGUAGCUAACAGGUUCAGGGUAGUUAUGUUGAUGGUCUAGUUUUGGUAGUUUCAUUGUCGAUUUCUGUCCAUUUUUGUCAUGUUCUGUCCAUAAAAAUACUAUCUGUGCUUCUUCAUAUCUUGUAAUAUGAAUUCAUUUGACAAACUAUGCAUUUCUUUUAGAGUGUUUGUCUAAAUUAAUCUUCUGGUAUAUCCCUAUGCCAGUCUGUUAAUAUGUCUGUAUUAUAGUGUUUUGUUUGAGGUGGUAAUGUACAUGGUGCACCCUGCAGUUUUUCAUGUCUAAUAUUGAAUCUCCUUGUUUGCUGUAUGUAUUAAGGAUUAGUUUCACUUCAAAUAGCUUACUGCUGAUGCUUUCUUGUUUGUUUAAUAUGCUGUGUAAUCAUGUUGACCCUGAGGUUUGUAAGAAUUCCUCUUAUUUGAUUAUUGCAUGGAUUAGUGUCCUGAAGGAUAUGGCUCCUUUGUACAAUUAAGAUAAUUCACUUUUUUUUCUCAACUUUUAUAUGCUUACUAGCCCAUUAGGUUGUGUAAACAUUAGAGUGCUUUAGCCUGGUAAAGAUGAGUUAAGCAUUUUAAAUAAAUUUUUGGAUUUGGUUGAUAUCAUCCUUAACACCUGCAUUUAAACAAUUUGUCUCUUUUGAUCCUGACUAUUACAGUGGGUGUUACUUUCUUUAGUCAUUCUGUGGUAUCAAAGUUUCUGGUGUAGUUGUGUAAUUAUGGUUUUGGUUGGAUUCUUACUAGUAUUUUCUACCUUUAAACAGCAGGAAAUUAUAUACAUAUUUGUAGUGUGAUCUUCAUAAGAAGUCAAGAUGGUGAAGUUCACAGCGGAAGAGCUCCGUGCCAUCAUGGACAAAAAGAACAACAUUCGUAAUAUGUCCGUUAUUGCUCAUGUGGACCACGGUAUGUUAAGAACAGUGUUUAAUUAAAUGUUAUGCAUACCUGUUCCUCGACAUUUUUCAGGCUUUUCAAUUUUAGCAAUUGUUUUUUUUCAGUAUUAAAUCUCUGAAUUGUUCUUGCCAGUGAAUGCGAUUCAUGCUGCGUUAGCUAUCACAGACCUAUUUUACAUAUGUAGAAAUAUUCAUUUCAUGUUGGAAAUAGGCUUAUUGUUCUUUUGUAAUUAAUGUAUUGGUUUAUCUCUAGAUAUUGCAGUGUAUAGUAUCUGUUUACUAUGUGUUUUAUAUUGGGAUGUAUUGUUGUCUUUGUUAACUUGUGAGAGGUUGUCUAUCCCUAAUGUUGUACUAUUCUUGAUGCAUCUUCGGACUGACUUUUAAGUUCCACACUAUAGUCUUACAUCUCAUUAAUUCUUUGCAGGCAAGUCUACCCUUACAGAUUCCCUUGUGGCAGCUGCUGGGAUUAUUGCCCAGGAAGUUGCUGGUGAUGUCCGCAUGACUGAUACACGUGCAGAUGAAGCAGAGCGUGGUAUUACAAUCAAAUCCACCGGUAUUUCUCUGUACUAUGAGAUGACUGAUGAGUCACUGAAGAGUUACAAGGGUGAGAGAGAUGGUAACCAGUACUUGAUCAACCUUAUCGACUCACCUGGGCACGUUGAUUUUUCUUCGGAAGUCACAGCUGCCCUUCGUAUCACCGAUGGUGCUCUAGUGGUGGUUGACUGUAUUGAAGGUGUCUGUGUGCAAACUGAAACUGUGCUCCGCCAGGCUCUUGGUGAGAGGAUUAGGCCAGUGCUUACUGUGAACAAGAUGGACAGGUGUUUCCUUGAGCUUCAGGUUGAGGGUGAGGAAGCCUACCAGACUUUCUCCCGUGUCAUUGAGAAUGCCAAUGUCAUUAUGGCAACAUAUGAAGAUAAGCUCCUUGGUGAUGUCCAAGUCUACCCGGAGAAGGGAACUGUUGCUUUCUCUGCUGGUCUGCACGGCUGGGCCUUUACCCUCACCAACUUUGCCAAGAUGUAUGCUUCGAAGUUUGGAGUUGAUGAAACUAAGAUGAUGGAGAGGCUCUGGGGUGAGAACUUCUUUGACCCAGCCACAAAGAAGUGGACCACCAAGAACACAGGCUCUGCUACCUGCAAGAGAGGAUUUGUUCAGUUCUGCUAUGAGCCAAUCAAGCAAAUCAUCAACACCUGCAUGAAUGACCAGAAGGAUAAGUUGUGGCCCAUGCUUCAAAAGCUUAAUGUUACCAUGAAGUCUGAUGAGAAGGAAUUGGUUGGCAAGGCUUUGAUGAAGCGUGUUAUGCAAACUUGGCUUCCAGCUAGUACUGCACUGCUUGAGAUGAUGAUAUUCCACCUUCCUUCCCCAUCAAAGGCACAAAAGUAUCGUGUGGAGAACUUGUACGAGGGACCCCUUGAUGAUAUCUAUGCUACUGCUAUCAGGAACUGUGAUCCGGAGGGUCCUCUUAUGCUGUAUGUUUCUAAGAUGAUUCCAGCAUCUGACAAGGGCAGGUUCUUCGCCUUUGGUCGUGUCUUCUCUGGGAAGGUUGCUACUGGUAUGAAGGUUAGGAUCAUGGGUCCCAACUAUGUCCCUGGCCAGAAGAAGGAUCUGUACGUCAAGAGUGUCCAGCGUACUGUUAUCUGGAUGGGAAAGAAACAAGAGUCUGUUGAGGAUGUUCCUUGUGGUAACACUGUUGCUAUGGUUGGUCUGGAUCAGUUCAUCACGAAGAAUGCUACACUCACCAAUGAGAAGGAGGUUGAUGCAUGCCCAAUCAGAGCAAUGAAGUUCUCUGUCUCCCCUGUUGUGCGCGUUGCUGUUCAGUGCAAGGUUGCCUCUGACCUACCCAAGCUCGUUGAAGGUUUGAAGCGUCUGGCAAAGUCUGAUCCUAUGGUCCUCUGUACAAUUGAAGAAUCUGGUGAGCAUAUUAUUGCUGGAGCUGGUGAGCUUCACCUUGAGAUUUGCCUGAAGGAUCUGCAGGAAGACUUCAUGGGUGGUGCUGAAAUUAUUGUUUCUCCUCCUGUUGUCUCUUUCCGUGAAACUGUUCUUGAGAAAUCCUGCCGAACAGUCAUGAGCAAGUCCCCCAACAAGCACAACCGUCUUUACAUGGAAGCCCGUCCCUUGGAAGAGGGUCUCCCUGAGGCUAUUGAUGAGGGCCGCAUUGGUCCACGUGAUGAUCCCAAGGUUCGCUCCAAGAUCCUCUCUGAGGAGUUUGGUUGGGACAAGGAUCUUGCCAAGAAGAUUUGGUGCUUUGGACCUGAGACCACUGGCCCGAACAUGGUUGUUGAUAUGUGUAAGGGAGUGCAGUACCUCAAUGAAAUCAAGGAUUCUGUUGUGGCUGGCUUCCAGUGGGCCUCAAAGGAGGGUGCACUGGCUGAGGAGAACAUGCGUGGCAUCUGCUUUGAGGUCUGUGAUGUUGUUCUUCAUGCUGAUGCAAUUCACAGGGGUGGUGGCCAGGUCAUUCCAACUGCCAGGAGGGUUAUUUAUGCUUCUCAGCUCACUGCCAAGCCAAGGCUGCUCGAGCCAGUUUACCUUGUGGAGAUCCAGGCCCCAGAAAAUGCACUUGGUGGUAUCUAUGGUGUUCUGAACCAGAAGAGAGGGCACGUGUUUGAGGAGAUGCAGAGGCCUGGUACCCCGCUCUACAACAUCAAGGCUUACCUCCCUGUCAUCGAGUCCUUUGGGUUCUCCAGCCAACUGAGGGCUGCAACCUCUGGCCAGGCGUUCCCUCAGUGUGUGUUUGACCACUGGGACAUGAUGGGCUCUGAUCCUCUGGAGGCUGGCUCCCAGGCUGCUCAGCUGGUGUUGGAUAUCCGCAAGAGGAAGGGUCUCAAGGAGCAGAUGACCCCUCUUUCUGAGUUCGAGGACAAGCUCUAAAUUUUGGUGGUUUGUGCUGCUGGU
Molecule: long non-coding RNA, 70585 nt
Filed under: Setaria viridis
Lineage: Eukaryota; Viridiplantae; Streptophyta; Magnoliopsida; Poales; Poaceae
Description: long non-coding RNA (SVIR_LNC006068)
Source: RNAcentral